RNAcentral lists this long non-coding RNA (71075 nucleotides) under Citrus x clementina. RNAcentral describes it as "Citrus clementina (C. clementina) long non-coding RNA (CCLE_LNC001386)". The record is from RNAcentral. Lineage: Eukaryota; Viridiplantae; Streptophyta; Magnoliopsida; Sapindales; Rutaceae.
UAGUCAUUUUGUUGAUCCUAAGAUAUCAACAGAGAGGAAAACGUCCAUCGAAUGAUGCUAAUAUGCCACUAGUAGCAACGUGGAGAACAUUUUCAUACCUAGAACUCUUUCGAGCAACAGACGAAUUUAGUGAAAACAAUCUAAUCGGCAAAGGGGGUUUUGGCUCUGUUUAUAAGGCAAGACUUGGGGACAGGAUGGAGGUUGCAGUGAAAGUUUUCAAUUUGCAAUGUGGAAGAGCGUUUGAGAGUUUUGAUGUUGAAUGUGAAAUGAUGAAAAAUAUUCGCCAUCGAAACCUUAUCAAAGUUAUUAGCAGUUGUUCAAAUGAAGAGUUUAAAGCAUUAGUAUUAGAAUACAUGCCUCAUGGAAGUUUGGAGAAGUAUUUGUAUUCAAGUAACUGCAUUUUGGAUAUUUUUCAAAGAUUGAACAUAAUGAUAGAUGUUGCAUCAGCUUUGGAAUAUCUGCACUUUGGUUAUUCAGCUCCAAUAAUUCAUUGUGACUUAAAGCCCAGCAAUGUAUUAUUAGACAAUAAUAUGGUUGCUCAUUUGAGUGAUUUUGGCAUCGCAAAAUUGUUAAUUGGAGAAUAUCAAUCUAUGACUCAAACACAAACACUUGCCACAAUAGGCUAUAUGGCACCAGGUUUGUCAAUAUAAAAAUUUUCUAUUUCUUGUAAACUUCCUAAUAAGUUAUUUAUGUUUCACGAUCUUCAUUAGAUGAGGAAAUUCUUAUUAAUGAUAUAUCUUACUAUGUAACUAUUGCAAUUCAUAGAGUAUGGAAGAGAAGGACGAGUAUCCGCAAAUGGAGAUGUUUAUAGUUUCGGGAUUAUGUUAAUGGAAACUUUUACUGGGAAGAAACCCACAGAUGAAAUUUUUAAUGGAGAAAUGACAUUAAAGCAUUGGGUUAAUGAUUGGCUACUCAUUUCCACUAUGGAAGUUGUUGAUGCUAAUUUACUAAGUCAGGAGGACAUACAUUUUGUCGCAAAAGAGCAAUGUGUGUCAUUUGUCUUCAAUUUGGCUAUGGCGUGCACUGUGGAAUCUCCUGAGCAGAGAAUCAAUGCAAAAGAAAUUGUUAAAAAGCUCUUAAAAAUUAGAGACUCAUUACUUAGAAAUGUUGGAGGCAGAUGUAUAAGACAAUCAAAUUUAAAUUGAUUCUGCCCCUCCAUUACUUGCUAUCCUUUUCAGAGACUUGAACGGUUAUCCUUCAUACCAGUUUUGUUAAUAUGUUUUGUUGUUGUUCUUACUCAUGUUUGUUUCUCUAUUUCUUUAAUUUGCAUGCAUGUAUUUUUCGUUCUCUUUUAUGUUUUUGUUGGUUUGUAUGUAGUUUGCUUUUAGGGGUAAGGUUGAUUAUGUCCUCCCCUAAUUAGACGUAUCUUUUUUAUGUUUAUUCAAUAAAGCUUCUAUAAUACUAUCAAGGUUCAUCAAAAGAAAAUUUUUAAUUAAUUUUCUUUUCUUUGACAGGUGAUGAAAUUCUAAUCUUCAUAGUGAAUAACUUCAAUAAUAGAGUGUAAGAGUAUUAGUAGUUAUGGUUGUUUUUUGAACCUGGAGUCAAGAGCAAUUUAACAGCAACAAACAAGUCUCUUGUAUUGUAGGCAAAAUUCUUUUCAUUAAUCUUAUUUGUCUACAUGUUCUCCUAUUUUCUCCAUUAAUCUUCGCUCAAGGUUUCAUGCUUCCUCUUUGAUAAAGGAAAAUAUUACUUGCGAAUAUUUCAAUUUGACAUAAGAGACUGUUUUGCCAACCAUUUGAUAAAAUGGAUAUGAGUGGAGCUUUCAAUCAUUACCUCCACCAAAAUACUUACAACGCCAGUUUUAAAUUUUAUUUUUUAAAAUACAUUCAGUUUAAUUUACAAAAAAUAAAUCCAUUUGUUAAAAUUAAUUUUUUUCUCAGAAAUUUCAACCUAAAAAUAUAUUUCUUUUAAAUUUUUAAUUAUAAAAUACAUACAAGUUCUAAACUAUUAUAUUAUUUUCUUCUUAUUAUAUAGUUUAUAUCUCCAUAACUCUAAACUCCUAUAAUUUUUUUUAAAAUGUGUUUAAUUUAAAAUAUAAAUAUAAAAUAUAAAAUGGAGUGGGUAUAAAAAAACUUGUUAAAAGAAUAAUUCAUUUAAGUAUUUAACUGAAUUGAAAUUAAAAUAAGAAAUAAAUUAAUUUAUUUUUUAUUAGUUAAGUAAUUUUCAAUUGAAAAAGAGCUGUAUGAGUAAUAUUAUUGAAAUAUGAUUAAAAUUCUUAUGAAUUAAAUAUUUUCGUAUAAAUACUAGUGAUGAUUACAGAGAAAGGGCGAGGAACCAAAGAAAACUUGAAUAUAAAUACGUCAGGUAAUGUGGCUUUUAUUUGGAAUGAAGAAGCCAAUACUUGGACCGAGUUUAGCAUCACUGAUUUUUAUAAUUUUCAGGACUAAGUAAAUUAUCUCAAUUUUAAAAAAAUAUAAUUACAAUUAUUGAUCGAACACCACUAAUUCCAACAAUUUAUCCAAAAAUAUCUUCGACUUUCAAGGAAUUAAUGUAGAACGAAUGGCCAAGUUUUUCAACUUUUUAGAUAUUUAAUAUAUGUCAUGUUUUAACUUAGUACGAGAAGAAAAUUAUAGAAUAUUUUUUUUUUGAAUUAGUGGAAUUAUUUUACAAUAAAACUAUCACAAUCACACUUAAAAAUAUUCUUUAAAUUUUCACUAUUUCUACUGUUAUUCUUUAAACUAUUUUCUAAACAAAGCAUGGAGGGUCACUUAUCUAAAUAUGUUUUUUGUGCUUUCACUUCACUUGAUUCAUCUUGUCCCUCUUUUAUAGCUUCUAUUAAAAAAAAAAAUACGGUCAACAGUACACACGGUUUGUACACGGUGAACAGUAAAGCGAUUUGAACAGUAACGCAAUUUGAACAGUAAUGAGGUUUGAAUAGUAACACGAUUUGAACAAUGCUAUACGGUUGGCUAUAAAUAGAGAUAAGAGUUUAGAGCUUGAUGCUUCCCAAUUUGAGAGAAGUAGAGAGCAUUGUAAGUGAGCUCUUUGAGAAAUUUGAGAGAGCUUCCAUUUGAGUGUUCUAGUGAGGUUUCAUUUAGGUGUAUUGGGGUUGUAGGUUUUGUGAGUUUUUCCCACUUUGUAAAUUCCCAUUUGUUAGUGAAAUUAUCUUCCAGUCUUUGCCCGUGGACGUAGGCAUUAUGCAGAACCACGUAAAUUAUUGUGUCCUAUUUUCUUUGCAUUUGUUUACACCAUAUUUAUAUUUCUCCAAAAGUCACAGUUACCAAAAUAUUGGUAAUUGCUCAACCCCACGCUUCCGUAACAAUUGGUAUCAGAGCCGAAGGUUCAUGUUUGGGGCAUACGACUGUUCACGUAUAAGGAAUUAUUCACAGAUAUAGUAUUGUUCAAGUAUAUGAAGAAAAGCCUUGAAAAUAGGCUUUAUAUGAAGAAGAAACUCUUUCGAUUCACAUAUGCACUUGGCAUGUCAAUGAAUGACCAUGUAAACUCAUUCAAUAAGAUAUUAGCAUAUUUGCUAAAUCUGGAUGAGAGAUUUGAAGAUGAAGAUAAGGCACUGUUGUUGUUAAAUUCCCUACCUGAUGAAUAUGAUCAUCUCACCACCACUUUACUUCAUGGAAAGGACAGUGUCACAUUUGAUGUUGUAUGCAGUGCAUUGUACAACUCUGAGACAAGAAAGAAAGACAGAAAGGAUCACAGAGAUACAGUUGCAAAAGCAUUGACAGCGAAAGGUCGUUCACAAAGCCGUAAACCUAGAAAAAGAAGCAAGUCUAAAGGGAGGCCUGCUAAAGAUGAAUGUGCUUUUUGUUGCGAGAAAGAGCAUUGGAAAAAGAAUUGUCCUAAGUUACAAAAGGUCAAGGCUAAUUCCGAUGCAUGUGUAGUAGAGCAUGGUGAAGAUUCAGACUUUAGUCUAGUUGGCAUGACGUUGAUAUGUCAUUCAAAUGAGUGGAUUUUGGAUUCUGGUUGUACCUAUCAUAUGUGUCCUAACGAGGGCUGGUUUCUAACUUCAAAGAGUUGGACGGUGGAGUUGUUUUUACGGGCAAUGACAAUGCUUGUAAAACCAUGGGAAUAGAUACAAUCCAAUUAAAGAAUUAUGAUGGUUCAAUCCAAGUCUUGACGGAUGUUCGCUACGUACCAAGUUUGAAUAAAAAUCUUAUCUCAUUAGGAGUCCUAGAAUCUAAAGGGCUCACAAUUACUUUGAGCGAUGGAUUGUUGAAGGUAGUAGCUAGUGCACUGACAGUGAUGAAAGGCACAAGAAGAAAUAACUUGUACUAUUUUCAAGGGAGUAUAGUUAUUGGAUCAGCAUCAACAGUUUCUGGAAAAGAUGCAUAUUCAGAAGCAACCAAGUUAUGGCAUAUGCGUUUGGGACAUGUUGGUGAAAAAGCUUUGCAGACUCUGGUGAAGCAAGGCUUAUUGAAAGGUGCAAAUUCUUGCAAAUUGAAAUUUUGUGAACAUUGUGUUCUAGGCAAGCAGACAAGGGAAAAGUUUGGUUCGGUAAUUCAUGAUAUAAAAAGAAUUCUGAACUAUGUUGACAGUGAUGUAUGUGGACCUACCAAAACAGCUUCUUUAGGAGGUAUGCAUUAUUUUGUUACUUUUGUUGAUGAUUAUUCAAGAAAAUGUGGGUGUAUUUGAUGAAGAAUAAGAAUGAAGUUUUGGGCAUAUUUCUAAAAUGAAAGAAUAUGAUCGAGACUCAGACUGGUCGAAAGGUCAAAAGACUUCGGUCAGAUAAUGGUGGUGAGUACAAGAAUGAUCAAUUUCUACAAAUAUGCCAAGAUGAGGGCAUUGUGCGACACUUUACUGUUCGAGAUACAUCACAACAGAAUGGGGUGGCAGAAAGCAUGAACUGAACUAUACUGGAGAAUGUUCAGUGUACGUUGUCCAAUGCUGGAUUGGGCAAAGAGUUUUGGGCUGAGACAGUUGUAUAUGCGUGCCAUUUGAUCAAUCGUUUGCCAUCAACUGCAAUUGAGGGCAAAACACCCAUAGAGAUGUGGAUUGGUAAUCCUGCUACUGAUUAUGAUUCUUUACAUGUUUUUAGUUCCACUGCUUAUUAUCAUUUAAAGGAAUCUAAGUUAGACCCAAGAGCAAAGAAAGUAUUGUUCGUGGGUAUAACUGGUAGAGUAAAAGGAUACCGUCUUUGGUGUCCUAUUAGGAAAAAUAUUAUCUUCAGCAAAGAUGUAACUUUUACUGAAUCAGCCAUGUUGAAACAAAAAGAUUCUCAAGAAGAUGACAAGACCAGUAGCACUUUGCAGCAGGUGGAGUUUGAAAAAAUUAAAUCCGAUCCAGCUGAUGUCGAUGAGACGAAUAGUGAUUCCCCAUCGACUGAAGAUGAUGAAGAGGUUCUGACCCAGGAACCUUCACAACAACAAGAGUUAAUUGCAUAUAGAAGGUCACACACAGAGAUUUGCAGACCUGCUCGCUUUGUUGAUAUGGUGGCCUAUGCACUUCCAAUUAUAGAUGAUGAUGUUCCUUCCACUUACAGAGAAGCAGUAAGUAACCUAGAAAGUAUACAGUGGAAGAAAGCAAUGAAUGAAGAAAUGCAGUCUCUUUACAAAAAUGAAACUUGGGAGUUAGAUGCACUGCCCAAGGAAAAGAAGGCAAUUGGGUGCAAAUGGGUAUAUGCGAAAAAGGAAGGAUUUCCUUGUAAAAAUGAAAUUCGAUACAAGGCUAGAUUGGUAGCGAAUGGUUAUGCUCAGAAGGAAGGAAUAAACUACAAUGAAGUAUUUUCUCUAGUUGUGAAACACUCGUUUAUUUGAAUUUUGGUAGCCAUGGUUGCGUAAUUUGAUCUUGAACUAGUUCAGCUUGAUGUAAUAACUACAUUUUUACAGGGUGAUUUGGAAGAGAAAAUUUACAUGACUCAGCCAGAUGGAUUCAAGGUUGCUGGAAAAGAAAAUUGGGUUUGCAAAUUAACCAAGUUAGUGGCAGCAAUCAAGUUUGAGCAUUGUCUAAACUUAACCAAUAUCUUAUAAGUUUGAAAGCAGACGGAGAAGGCAGAGACUGGAGGAUGGUUUGUUGAUAGUCGGCUCAGAUUUUAAAAAAAUUUCGCCGAGGUAGAGAAUUGUUAAAAAUAAAAAAUAAAAAAAAUACAAUCAACAGUACACACAGUUUGUACACGGUGAACAGUAACGCGGUUUGAAUAGUUUUUUUUUUUAAAUUAGUGGAAUUAUUUUACAAUAAAACUAUCACAAUCACACUUAAAAAUAUUCUUUAAAUUUUCACUAUUUCUACUAUUAUUCUUUAAACUCUUUUAUGAAUAGAGCAUGGAGGGUCACUUAUCUAAAUAUGUUUUAUACGCUUUCACUUCACUUGAUUCAUCUUGUCCCUCUUUUAUAGCUUCUGUUAAAAAUAAAAAAUAAAAAAAAUAGGGUCAACAGUGAAGGACAACAUUUGUCCAUGAGGUUCCUAAUAACGCAACUUUUGCACAGUAAAAUUAAAACAGAUGGCGGAAGCUCUAGAAACCUCAGAUCGACUUCAUUCAAAAACGAAAAUCAAGAGGAAAGAUUGAAGUUUAAUUAACUCACUUGUAGUUUAAAAAAAGACUUCGUGAAGUAGGAGAAAAUGACUGAAAACAGUAAGCUACGAACACUGUCCAGAAAAUAGAGCUCUGCACGAACAGCUUCUGUUUUGCCACGAUCUGAGAUCCUUUAAGCACCCCAAUUGUGAUGCCUCUAGUCAUUCCACACAUAGAAAUGUUCUAGGAGUUCAUAGGAUUUGGAAUCUCGAAAUUUCGUUUAGAAAUGAGAGAGAUAAUGAAGAAACAUGAAUGCUAGUUCAUGAUGAUUCAUUCCACCAAAUAAAGCCACCAUUAUCUCCAAUAAUGGCACCAAACAUUAUCAUGUGCUAGACCCACCCACUUAGCCAUUAUUUAUUGAAAGUGAUCUUAUCAUUUCAAUAUUUUAUUUAAUCAAAUAAAUAAAUAGCUAAAUUAAUUAAUUUCGUAAUUAAUUAAUUAAUCUCAUUUUGAUCAAAUCAAAUGGUUGAAUGUGGGCUUCUUUUGUGACAUGUUCUAAUGCUUUCUCUUAAUCCAUAUUAGAUCCAAUAAAAGCCCAAAAUUCUAAACCCAAAAUUGGUCUAGAAGUCCAUAAUCAUAUAUGAACCAGAACAUCAUUUUACGUGCUCGAUAUUACAUAAUGUUUAAUUGAGGAUUUAUGAAAUUUAUUUUGUUCCUUAAACUAUUUAUGGAACAUCUAAAUUUCUAUCUUAAAUCAUAUUUAAGAUAUAUUUAUAUAUAUAUUCAUUCUCAAUGAAUUAUAAUAUAAAUAUUAAUUUUCCUAAAAUUAGGAAAUUUAACUUCUCAUUUUCUAGUAACUCCUUUUUCAUUUCUAUUUGGUGUGUGACCUUUUAGGUUCUUAGUUAUAAGGUAGUAGAACUAUUUUAAUGAUAACUCUUUAUUCAUUAAAUGAUGCUAAACUCUUUAGUCAUCAAUUAGAAAUUUUCUAAUGACCUUAAGAUGCAUUGCUAAUACGCUUUACCAAUAUUAAUCUUAAGGUUUCUACAAGUCAUGAGUGACACCUAGCAGUAUAUCACAACUAUCCAAAUAACAAGAAUUGUUGGAUCUAUAGAACCUAUUCCAUUGUAUCUCUAUGUCUUGGUCUCUUCAUCAUCCAUGUCCAAAGAAAAACACGGCAUAUGGUUUAUUAUGUUAAGCAGUUAUGCUUUAUCUCAAAAUAAAUCUAAAUGAACUUGGCAUGAAAAUAUAAUUUGAACUCCUUCAAAUAUAUUUCACCUUGGCCAAGGAUUUCUCAUGCCAAUUCAUAUUAUCUCAUAGGGACAUCCUUUUUGUAUAUUACAAAGUGAUGAAUUCCAUAUUGGCCAUACACUUGUCUUCAUACAUAGCCAACCAUGACAGCUAUUGCUAGAUCUCUUCCUUGAUUAGGAAUCAAUCAUUAUGCUUUCACAUAUAAGAGAUGUCUAUGUAUAAGACAUCUGUUAUGCCUCAGGUCUAAAGACCAUUACUAAACAUAGUGUCUAUUACAAUGUAUAAUAAGCCAUUAACACUCAAAACCAUAUGGCUUACUAUAUUUGGUCAAGUUCAGUAAACUCGUUCUCUCAACAAGUACCUAUGUAUUUGACUUGACAUCUCAUGUCAAUGAUAUGAAACUCACCAUCUAUUUUAGUAUCACAUACCAUAAGGAGUCAUAACACAAACUGGUGUUUAUAGGAAUUUAUAAUGUCCAAUCAUAAAUCCACCACUAGGAACUAUUUUAGAAGUAUAGUACAAAGGAUGCACGUUUCAUAUUCUCAACAAACUCGAGAAUGUGUUCCUUAACUAUUUUACUUCUUGGACUAUAUUCAUUAAAUUAAAUUUAUGAAUGUUGAUAACUUUGCCAUUUUAUAAAUAUCAAAAUGCUAUUCAAAUACAAUAAUUCCCUAAACAAACAAACACCAUUCGAUUGGCCUUUAGGGCAUAUUACUAAGAAACAGUACACACGGUUUGUACACAGUGAACAGUAAUGCGGUUUGAAUAGUAACGUGGUUUGAACAGUGCUAUACGGUUGGCUAUAAAUAGAAAUGAGAGUUUAGAGCUUGAUGCAUCCCAAUUUGAGAGAAGUAGAGACCAUUGUAAGUGAUCUCUUUGAGAAAUUUGAGAGAGCUUCCAUUUGAGUGUUCUAGUGAGGUUUCAUUUGGGUGUAUUGGGGUUGUGGGUUUUGUGAGUUUUUUCCACUUUGUAAAUUCCCAUUUGUUAGUGAAAUUAUCUUCCAGUCUUUGCCCGUGGACGUAGGCAUUAUGCAGAACCACGUAAAUUAUUGUGUCCUAUUUUCUUUAUAUUUGUUUACACCACAUUUAUAUUUCUCUAAAAGUCGCAGUUACCAGAAUAUUGGUAAUUGCUCAACCCCGCGCUUCCGCAACAACUUCUAGCUCGUGUAGGCUGAUAGAACCUGCAACUCGUAUUGUACGUUUCUAUUACUUUCUCUUCCAUUUUCCCAACUCCCAAACACCAUCAAUCCUUGAUGUUAUAGAGUAUUAGCUCUCUAUUUCUACAAACAUAGAGCUACUGUUCGUACUUUAGAUCUUCAUAUGGUUGGUUAACUAUUGUUUGAAUAUUAAAAUUAAUUUGUUAAAUAAAUAAAGAAAACAAGAGACAAUUGCCAUAUAUAUUCCAUAUUAAUCAAUCACCGUUCGAUUGUCUCCACUUCCAUUGACUCUAAUGAUUCAUGCUUUCAUGAAGUGAAGCUCUUAACACUCUGUUAUGAUCCGCAAGAGAGAGGAAAAACAUAAUUUUAUUUUUUGAUUCCUGACACGCGCAAAUAGGGAUGGCAACCAAACCCGGACUCGGAUCGGACCCGGACUGAACCCAGAAAAUCUGAUCCGGGUUCAAACCGCGCCGGAAAAAUUUUUAUGUGGAAUCCGGAUAGAUUUUUCAGAACUCGCAUACUUCUGGGUCUGAAUCCGGUUUCAGGUGAACCCGCAAAUCCGGAACCCGAAUCCGGAUAUUAUUUAUUUUAAUAUUAAUUUUUUUAAAAUUAUUAAAUAUAAAUAGAAAAAUUAAAAAAAAAACCCUAGCCCUCUCAAUCUCUCAUUCGUUCAUUCCUCUCUCAAAUCUCAAUCUCUCUCACUCGUUCCUCUCUCGAUCUCUCACUCUCUUCAACUUCUCCUCUCAAUCUCUCAUCUAUUCGACUGUUCCUCUCUCAAUCUCUCUCACCCGUUUCUCACUCAAUCUCUCUCACUCUCUCUUCAACUCUCUUGUAAUUUCUCUUCUUCAAAUCAGAUCCUUCACGGCGUGGCUGUCAUCACCUUCACGGUCUGCCUGUGUUUGUUUCAUCACUCAUCAGCAUCAGCAUCAGCAUCACUCGUCUCAUCUCUCACUCUGUCGCGGCCAGCAAAAGGGGGUGGAUUUCGCGGCUGUGUUCUGUGGCAUGUGGGGGUGGAUUUCGCAGCUUUUGUAUUUGUUUUAGAACCUGGAGUUGAAGUUAUAUGUUUUGUAUUUGAAAUUUUGUUGAACUAAACUAAAGCAAUCUGGAUUCUAGAAGCAAUUUGGUUCUGGUUUGUGUAACUGUGUUCUUUUUUUUUCCCUUUUUUCCAGCAACUAAAAAAUACUAAUUUUUGAAGCGAAUCUUCGACAAUCAAAGAACAGGGUUGUGGAUUUGCUUGUCUCGUAUCCUUUAAUUAUUGUUCGGUUCUGAAAAUAAUUGUAAUUUUAAGGAUUUUCGAUUAUCUGGUUUUUUUUUAAGUGCAAUUUCCCCUAGUUACAGUUUCAGAGUGAAGGGUUAAUUGCAAUUUCGAAUUUUUUUAUAAAAUCUAAAUUAAAAAUGAUUGAUGGACCGUUUUCUUUGGAGAACUCACUGAAGUGCGGAGAGAGAAUGAAAAGUGGGUGCAUGGAGUGUGUGGGAAGGCUUGGGUGUAAUUGAGAUUUUGGUAUGAGAUAAAAUAAUCUAAGAAUAUGGUUGUAAUAAUUUUUCAUACAGUGAAAUUAUUUUAUCUUCUUGUCCUUGACGGCUGUAGCUUUUUACUUUAGAGUUUUUUAAAUAAAUCUUAUUUUGUGUGAUUGGUGUAUUAUCUAUCUUUUUUAUUUAUUUAUUAUGUUUGACAUAUUGCUAGCAAAGGUAUUGGGUGGGAACAAAAAAAUUCCCAACAAUUACCAAUUGUUUUAUAACUUUGUUAUGAACAGAGCAUGAAGGGACUCACUUAUCUAGUAAUUUUUUUUUUUUAUGCUUUCGCUUCAUUUGAUUUCGUCUUGUCCUUCUCCUUUAUAAAAGUUGUAAAUGUUGUAGUAUCGAGCUCAUCACAAAUAUCAUAUUAUGGCUAAGGAAGGAAGACAGUUCAUUGGCUGCACUCAAGUGUAUCAGUGUAUUUGGAUUCUAGACUGUUAGAUGGUUGUUACAGAUGUAAGGCCGUUGCUGUGUAAAGUAUCCCAUGCUGGCAAGUGCGCUAUAACAGAUUGCGGAGCUGGCACUAAUUAUUUUAAACUAAUAUUAGUAAUUGGUCUAGAGUGAUAUGAUUUAUUCUAUUAAUAGCUCAUUUGAGCUUUGAACCGGUAACGUGUAUUGUACUUUUCUGUUACUUCGAAUAAAGACAACCUGUAAGUGUGCUGUAACGUGCAUUGUUCUUUUUUCUUUCACUUUCUCUUCCAUUUUCCCGACUCUCAAACACCGUCAAUCCUUGAUUUUCUAGAGUAUUAGCUGUCUAUUUCUACAAACAUAGAACUGCUGUUUGUUUGUUUCCAGAAACAAUAUGCUCCAUCCCGUGGUCUCUUCAUUUAUUGGCUUGUUACUUGUGAACAGGAGGGCUAAAUAAAGGGCAAAUAAGAUGCUGGGCCAAUAGGCCCGACGUCACAGAUCUUGAAUUGAUUGUCUCUUCUUUUCUCCACAAAUCUUUGCUUAAUUUUUAUGUUCCCUCAACUUUAUUUUCCCCUAUUGUGCUAAAAUUAUUUUUUUUGAUACUCUAUGCAAAAAUUAUGAUAAAAAUGAAUUAGUUUAGAACAUCAAUAAAUUUUGAUUACGCUAUAGAUAAGGACAAUUACACUUACAUCACUCUUAUUUAGUUGAAUUACUAAUAAAAUAAUAAAAUAUGAUUCUUAACCCUUGCAAUUAAAUGCUGGUGUUAUUUGGUUUAGUUAUAACGCCAUGCAACAGGUCGUCUUGGUGGGUUCAAAUUAAUGUACGAUCAUUCUCAAUUUUUAAUAAUUCGUAAUUAAAAAUUCCUAUAUCACAAUUAGAAUUUGCAAACAUGCCAAAGUGAGUUAAAUCAAACCUAUAAAUUCGAGGUCUACCACAUGAUGAAUGCAAUUAAAACAUCCUCACUGGUCGCUAAUUGAUUAGUUGUUAUUUUUUCAAUUUCAUUUUAUAUAUCUUUGAAACUUCUAGUUUCCUAACAUGUUAUUCGCAAUUCGUGUAAAUUAUUAUUUUUUAGAUAUUAGAGCAACAACCAGUAUAAAAAUAAAAUGCACUCUUCUAAUGGAAAUUUUUCUAGAUGCUUCAAUGGCAGAAUCUCAUUGGUCUAUAACUUUCACACCUUAGAUUCAAGAUUCAAUUUCAAACCAACGCCGAACAAACAGUAUAAACCUUAAUAAGUCUGUGGGUGUAGCCCAACAAACUUACUUCCGGCUCACCGAAUAAUCAUCUCUUACGUUACGGCCAUGGGACAUUGGAAUUGGAUCAAACCACCGGAAUGCACAGCAAAAUUAACCCGAAUAAACUAAAUUAGAUCCAACCAAUUGAAUAGGUUUGGUGUCACUCAGAAAACAAAUAAAUAUAUAAAACAACACAAUUAUCACACAGCUAAAUAACACAUUUAACAUCAAUUAUCAUCACUGAAAAGCACUAAUGAUAUUUGAUCUGUCUUUACUCAAACAGUUUCACUGGCACUAUUAUUGUAAUGAUUAUUUAAUGCCGUUCAUUCCAGCUCGGUUUGGCUGUUAACUUUAUUUAGUUAUUUAUGAGGGGAUUCAUUUCUCACCUGAAGCUAGAAAUUUACGGAUCCCUGGUGUUUGUUGAUAGUGCCUUACAUGAUUACAAAAAUGAACAAUUUUUUUUUUUUUUUUUGGGGCCAAUUGCAGUUUUGAUAACAACUAAAAUCUGUGUGGUCCGGUUACCACAAAGCCUUGCCCCAGAUCUCUGCCAUUUUCUCCUCCGCCUCCAUUUGGGGAAAUUACGACUUACUUUUUGCAAGUUUUUCUUGAAAUAUUUAUUUUGAGAAGAAAACCAACAAUACAUUUUAUGAUUUGGGCUGUUUCAAAGAUCUUCGCUUGAUGUCUCUGCUACUGGUUUUCAGCAGAGUGCCCAAAAAUAAUCAGUGCACGCACUGUAGGCUCUAUUAUUAUCAGUAAAAAGCAUUAGUGAUAUUUUGGGAUCGACUUUUUUAUUUGGGAGUGGAAGGAUGCUUGAGAGAGUAGAGUGGUGCAUCUUGUUCAAACAUGCACCGUAGAGAAAUUAGUUUAGGCUCUAACCAUUGUAAUAGUAGAGAAAAAAAAUUAAUUAAGAGUAAUUUUAUGACCUUUUAGAAAUGAGUGAAUUAAAAUAAUAAAUUAUAAUUUGAUAAUUAUCUUAAUUAAAAAAUGGGUGUUGAAAUAAAAUUAGUGAAUUUAAAUAGCCUGCCCAAAAUCCAAACUCGCAUACCAAUAAUUUUCUAAUUUUACAUAAAGUUUUUCUAUAUGUUUGAUAAAAUUUGAUUCUCAAUUGGUCUAAUGGAGAAACAACCAGCCAAAAAAUAAAAUGAAUGCGAUUACAUGGAAAUUUGAAAAGAGCAGUAGAUGACAUUUAUGUGCAAGCAAAAUGCAACAUUGCAUUCUGUUUGUGGGAUCCUGGAAAAAAUAAAAGAAAGAAAACAGAGUAAUAUUUUUCUUUACGCCUGGCAGAUUCUCGUUGGUUCAUUUUUCUUUACGCCUUAGAUUCUAUGAUUCAAUUUCAAUCAAAUACGACAAACAAAAGAAGCCUUUAAGCCUGCAGCUGAAAUAGAUGGUACUUUAAUUUUCAGCUGAACAUAUACAUGGUAAGAUUAUUAUUAUUGAGCUUGAUGAGGCUAUAGAAAAUUCAAUAUCGAGAUCAGAUAAGGGUCCAAUAAAUUAUAAAAAUAUUGCAGCUCAAAGCCCAUAUGAUCAUGGGCCAGGCCACUACUUGCUCAUACUUUGAAUCAAAAUUAGUGACGUUGGAAGCUGAAAGGGGCAAAUGAUGAAAUGGGGUUCAUCAUAUACUAUGCCCAACGGGAUAAGAUCAUCAUUUAAUUGCCUCCUCCUCUUGUCGAUAGAUAUUUGCCGAAUUUUUCUAUUUAAAAAAUAUUAUAUUGGUUAAUAUAAUUAGAAGUUUUACAAAAUAUAAGUAUAAUUUAAAAAAAAAUUAUAUUUGUUAAUCUAAAUUUUCCAUUUGGUGGUUGUGUUUGAAAAAUUUUUUAGGUAUAUUCGGAUAUACUUUCUCAUUAUUUAUUGAUUUUGGACAUUUAGACAUACUAGUAUUCAGUAGUCUUAGGUAAUUAGCUAAGAAGUAUACGUGACAAAGUAUAACACGUGAAAAAAUACACAACAAAAUUAUCAACAAUUUCCCAUUGACUUAGUCAACUCUCCAUUGAUUUCAUUGACUUGGUCAACUUAUGAUCUAACUCAACAACUUGAAAAUUAAAUUAUGCUAGUAAUUCCGUAAAAUUAAAAUUUAUCUCCCAAAAUUGAUAAAUACUAUGUCACUUUGUCAAAUUACUUAGGAUAAAAGUUAUGUGGCUAAAAACUUUUUAAGAUGAGUUGUAUGCUAAUUGAGAAGGACAAGACACAAAAGAAUUCAAUGAAUGCUAUAUCACGCAACAAUACUUGACUUUUUGUCUAAAAAAGGACUAAAGAAACAUGCCAAGCAACAAAUAAAAAGUUGAUAGGCACUAUUUAAAUAGUAUUAAUAUGGCAACAAAAAACAUGCGAGCAAAGUAGACUAUUCCUUUAUUCUAUAAAUAGCUCAUUUGAGCUUAGAACCUUUAAAGUGUGUCGUACGUUUCUCUUACUUCCAAUAAAGAUUUUCUCUAUUCCCUUUUCUUCCACUUUCUCUUCCAUUUUCACGAUCCCCAAACACCAUCAAUCCAUGAUUUUCUAGAGUAUUAGCUGUCUAUUUCUACAAACAUAGAAUUGCUGUUUUAAGAAACAAAGUAGUCUGUCCUGUCACCCAUGAUUGCCUCUUUCUUUUCUCCACAAAUUUUUGGUUAAUUUUUAUGUUCCCUCAACUUUUUUCCCCUUUAGCACCAAAAUUCAUUUUUGAUACUUUAUGCAAAAAUUAUGAUGAAAAUGAGUCACUUUAGAACAUCAAUAAUUUUUUUUUACAUCCAAGAUAACGACAAUUACACUUAGAUCACUCUUACUUAGUUGAAUUAUAUAUGUAAUAAUGUUGCCUUAACAAAAUAUGAUUCUUGAUCGUUGUAAUUACGAGCUGGUAUUCUUUGGUUUUAGUAGUAGGGCUUAUAACGCUGUGCAACAGUUAUUGGUGGGUUCGAAUUAUUAUACGAUCAUUCUAAAUUCUUUACGGUACGUAAUUAAAAAUUCCUAUAUCACAAUUAGAACUUACAAACAAGUCAAAGUGAGUUAAAUCAAACGUAUAAAUUCGAGGUCUAUUACAAACUUCUAAAAAAGAUUUUCUCUGUUCUUUUUUCUUUCACUUUCUCUUCCAUUUUGACAAUCCCCAAACACUGCCAAUCCUUGAUUUUUUUAGUAUUAGCUGUCAAUUUCUACAAACACAGAACUGCUGUUUGUUUGUCUAAUUACUUUCAAGAAACAAAACUGUUUGUCAUGUGGUCUCUUCGUUUAUUGGCUUGUGAGCAAAUAAGAUAUUGGUUUAACAAAAUCUAACCCGUCAGUAUUCCAUAUCACAUGAUUAACGUAUUUAAAAAAUCUUAGCUGUUCCGUUGCUUGUUUUACAAUUCUUUUAUAUAUCUUUGAAACUUUCUGCUUCCUGACACAUCAUAUUGUUCUCAAUUCAUCUAAAUUAUUUUUUUCUUUAAACACUGCAGCAACAACCGGUAUAAAAUAGAAUGAACUCAUUUUUCUCUUAACAAACUUAAAAGGUAUUCCCCAUCCCACGUGUCCCCAAAUCUUCGUAUUUCCAAACAAACCCCUGCCAAAUAGAGAAGAGGAUGGCUUUUAUUGCAAACUGUAUGAGCGUUAUGGCCAUGCAUGGGACAUUGGAUCAAAAUCAAACCAAUGGAUUGUAAAGCAAAAUUACCGAUUAAAAAUUCAACCAAUUGAAUCGGUUUGGUGUCACUUAAAAAAUAAACAAUAUAUAAAACAACACAAUUAUCAUUUUAAUGAGCCACUGUUAAAUUCAUUCAGUCAGUAUUUUUCUUUUCCCAUUUUCAAUGAAUGCUUAAUAUAGAAAACAAUCUGUCCCAUUGAACACUGUUUAAAUCAUUCCCUAAUUUGUUUAACACGCAAAGAAUAUUCUUAUUCGGCUCGGCAGCCAAUCCGUUAAAAUUUGUUAAAAUUUAUUUAAGUGAUGACUGUGAUAUGACUCGAUCAAUCGUUUAAUUUGUAUAAUUUAUAAAAAUUUGAGCUUCAAGUAAUGUAGAUAGAAUGGUUAAUUAUUUUAAUAUUCAGAUAAAUUGAUAUAUGUCAUUAUAUUAUGAGUGGAUGAAAUAUCCAAUAGAAAAAAAAAUGUUUGUAUUCGUCAUUUUUAGUGGGAAUCUAUUUAGUGUAACUUAUCCAUAAAAAUGGUUGCCGACUUAUCUUGUUUCUCAUUUUGUUUAAUUUUCAUAAAUUUGACUCACGAUUAAUUGUGAGUGAAGAUUUUUUAGGAAAAAAAUCUGGUCUUCUAUUUAUUUUGUAGGAUUUAAAAGAUUAAAAAACUUUAAUACAUAUAAUUUUAUGUUCGAAACUAAAUACUCGUAGCAUUGCUGCUUCUAUAAAUAACUCAUUUGCGCUUCCAACUUGUUAUUUGUAUUUUACGUUUUUGUUUCUCUUCAUAACGAUUUUAUUUUUUUUCUUUUUUCCAUUCACUUUUUCUUCCAUUUUCCCGACUCCCAAACACCACUAAUCCUUGAUUUUCUAGAGUAUUAACUGUCCGUUGGGUUAAGGAUCGACAAAAAUGUUAUAACCUAUAAAGCAUGGAUAAUUAAUUAAUGGGAAUGCACCUCUCAUCUUUACCAUUCUCUUUGUCAUUGUCAGAAUUCAGCUGUUUAUUAAUAAAGUGAAUAAAUUUAUCUUUUAAUAAUAUGUUUCUUGGCUGUUUUUUGUGUAUUUUUGUGUGCAAAUAGCAUUAUUCAUUAGUAAUUAGUUUGGAGUAGCUCAUUUUAGCUUAGCUCAUUUUAUGUUUCUGUUAAUCUUUAAUAAAGAUUUUCUCUUUUUUUUUUUUUUUUUUUCCUUUCACUUUCUCUUCCAUUUUCCCCGACUCCCAAACACCACCAAUCCUUGAUUUUCCAGAGUAUUAGCUCUCUAUUUCGACAAACGCAUAACUGUUGUUUGUCUAACUACUUUCAAGAAAUAACGCAGUCUGUGGUUUAUUGACUUGCGAACGGGGCUAAUUAGUCACGGUCCGAUUGUCUGACUUCUCCAUUGACUCGGUCAAUUCACGACCUUGACCUGCACAGUUGAUACAAACGGACUUCUCCAUUUGAGGUGCACAAAACUUUCUUGAGUCAUUUUGUUUGGUGAUGAUGAAUUGGAUGUCAGUUCAUGAGUUUCAUGAUGAAGAGGACCAAAAACAUUAUUUUAUUAUUUAAAGAAGACUAACGAUUAUUUCGAUGGUCAUUUUAUUAUUUUUUUAAAAAUAUCCAAAUGGUGAAAUUUUAAAGAAUUAAGGUGCUUGACUUCUUUACACAGAAUUACAAAGCAAAACAAUUAAGAAAUUAAAUACUCGUCAUCCAAGUGAGAAGAGAUUGGGUUGUUGACACAUUAAAUAAAAGAAAAAUCAAUUAAAAGCACAACAAUUCAAUAAUUUCAUUCUCAAUCAUAUCAAAAAUAAAAUUUACUGUACAUUGUUGCUCGGUUCUGUAAAAAAAAAAAAAUUAUUAGGGAUUUGCAGUUUUUUUUAGUGUAAUUUUCGUUAAUUACAGUUUGGUCUGAAGGGUUAAGCACAUGGAUCAUAAUCAUAUUAUGGCCUAAGGAAGGAGCACAGUAUUGGCUGCACUCAGUUUACAGAAUAUUUUGGGAUUCAAAAAAAUAUGUUUUAUGUAUUAAAAAAGAUUAAAAAAGAGUCUGCUACCUGUAACUAUGUUUUAUGUUUCUAUUACUUUCUAAUAAAGAUUUUCUCUGUUUUUGUUUUUUUUUUUUUUUCCCCUUUUACCUUCUCUUCCAUUUUUUUCCCCUAAGGAAGGAGCACAGUUCAUUGGCUGCACUCAGUUUACAGAAUAUUUUGGGAUUCAAGACUUUAGGUUGUUCCGGAUGCAACUUGCAAAGGCUGUUGCUGUGUAACUGUAUGCCAUGCUGGCAAGUGUGCUAUAACAGAUUGUAAACUAAUUAGUACUGGAAAAUCCUAUUUGCACAAAAAAUUGCACAAAAUAAAGAGAAUGAGAAUACUUGUGCAAAAAAAAUAAGAUUAAUAAAGUGAAUAAAUUUAUCUUUUAAUAAAAUAUUUCUAGUCUUUUAGUGUUUUCGUGUAUUUUUGUGUACGUGCAAAUAACAUUACUCACGAGUAAUUAUGUUUUACGUUUCUAUUAUUUUCUAAUAAAGAUUUUAUCUGUUUUUGUUUUUUUCCCCCUUUUACCUUCUCUUCCAUUUUUCCAACACCCAAACACUACUAAUCCUUGUUUUUGGUUUUUUUUCCCCCUUUGGUCUAACUGCUUUCAUGAAACAACAUACUCUGCGGUUAAAAUUAAUUGAUCAUUUUAUUUGCUGAUAAUGAAUUGGUUGUCAAGUCAUGAGUUUGAUGAUGCACAGGACGAAAAAUGUUAUUUUAUUAUUUAAAAUAUGACUAACAAUUAUGUUGAUGGCCAUUUUAUUAUUUAAAAUAUGCAAAUGGAAUCUUACCGAACUUUAGUGCUUGACUUCUUCAUACAGUGCUUGACUUCUUUGUACAGAAUUAUAAAGUGAAAGAAAUUACGAAAUUAAAUACUUUUCAUGCGAGUGGGGGAGAUUGGGAAGCGAUUACAUUACAUAAAAGAAAAAUAAUAUAAAAGUACAAUAAUAAUCAUCGAUGCAAAAAUUCUGUAAAUUUAUGAAAUAACUAUUGAUUUCACUUUGGUAAUUACUUUUUAAAAGUAACGUAAACAUUUUUAUUUUAUUUGCAUUCGAGCUUUCUUUCUUUUUCGCUGGCCUUUACACUUGACCGUAUUUCAUGGGGCAUAUUCAAUCUGAAUCCUCUGCAAGUUUGUGGCAGUUUGGUUAGUAACGAACUUUUGUAGAAUUGCAUGAAGAUGACGCUUUUAUAGACAUUUUUUCUUUUUUCUUUUUUUCUUCAGUAAACAUAUUAAAAAUUUAGUUUUUGUCAUCAUGACUAUAACAGUAAAAUGAAAAUAGUACUCAUUUCGACGAUAGACAAAAAUGUUGUACUCAUCCCGAUUAAUGGGCCACUGAUUUCGUCUUCUUAAAAAAUUAUUAUUGCAGUGAGGUAAUUGGAUCAAAGAUGGACGAUUUCCAUAUUUGCCUAACCUAAGUGAUAAGAAUUUUCAUAUGAGACAUAAUCUGAUUUAUUUUGCUUGACUGUAUUCCAAGAGACAGUCAUAUCUACUAAAUGAAACAAAUCUUGCUUUUCUAGAGAAAUAAUGCAACAUGCAAUUAUGCAUAAAGGUACGCAUCCAUGUGAGAAAGUUGACGAAAGCUUCUUUUUCAGUAUUGGAAGUGCAAUCCACAGCGGAACAUUGGAUAAAACCAAUGGAAUGUAAAGCAAAAUUACCGAUUAAACUAAAUUGAAAAUCCAACUAGUUGGAUCAGUUCAGUGUCACUCAAAUAUAUAUAUAUAUAACAACACAAUUAUCAUAUUAAUGAGGCACUGUUAAAUUUGAAUAUUUUUUUUUUCAUUUUUAAUGAAUGCUUAAUAUGACAAACAAUUUGUUCCAUUGAGCACUGUUUAAGUCAUUAAAUGAAGAUGAAUACUUCUAUACAAAACAAUUAUUCUCUUAUUUAUCUGACACACAAAGAACUUUCUUGCUCAGCUCGGCGGCCAAUCCUUUAAAGUUUGUUAAAAUUGAGUUAAUUGAUGAACGAGACAUAACCCGAUAAAUCGUUUAAUUUGUGUAAUUGAUAAAAAUUUGAACUUCAAAUAAUAUAGAUAGAAUGAUUAAUUUUUUUUCAAUAUUUAAAUAAUUGAUAUAUGUCAUGUUACAAUGAGUGAAAGAAUGAAGUGUCUGAUAGAAAACACAAUGUUUAUGUUUGUAUCAAAAAUUUUAAGUGCGAAUCUAUUUAGUGUAUAGGAUAUAUAUAAAAAUAGUUACCAACUUCUCUUGUUUCUCAUUUUGUUUAAUUUUCAUAAUUUGACUAAGGAUUAAUUAUGAGUCAACGGUUUAUUAGAAAAAUAUGAUCUUCCAUUUACUAUUAAAGAUUAGCGUGAUUUAAUUAUUUAAUGGUCGUUCAAUUUUAUUGGUUACCAAAUUCUCUAGGAUCGCAUGUAGAUUAUACUUUUAUAUAUAAAAACAAACACUGUCAACAAGCAUUAAUGUCAUUUGACGCAUGAAAGACAAUUAGUCCCAUUUUUUGUCCUGUUUACUUGAACACCACUAAUUCCACUAAUUCCAACAAUUUAUCCAAAAAAAUUAGUUACUCUUCUUUUUUUUCUUUUUUUUCCGAUCUGUUAAUGAAUGCUCCUACUCCUAUCGGUUCUAUAUCCAACUCGACCUCGGAAGCUAAUUCGCGUUGCUAUUCCUACUUUUCUUGUUAUACUACUUAAUGGCACUGGUGAAGCCUCGAAUUAUCAAACAAAAAGCAAAAAUAGUUCAAUAUAUGUUGUCCCACUGAGCAUUGUUAAAUUCAUACGAUAAAAUGAGCACUUAUAUUAAAAAAACAAUCAGUCUCAUUACGUGCUCUUUCAUUGACAUAGGCAAUUUGCUAUCUAACUUGUGGCACUUUUAUGAAUUUUCAAGACGGGUGAAUUUUUCAAAUUUAAAAGAAAAAAAAUACAGAAAUGUAAUUUCAAUUUAUCCAAAAAUUUGAGUUUCAAGGAAUACAGCAUUUAUUAUAUGUCAUGUUAAUAUAGAGAAGAAAAUUUUAAAAACUUCUUUUUGGAUGAAUAAAAGUAUUUUCUGAUAAAUAUUUCACAAUCAUAUUUAAAAAAUUUCACUCCUCUUGGUGCAUAAUUUAAGAAUUUAACAUUAUAAAUUAAUCUUUUUAAUCAAAGUAAUAACCUCUCCUCGGUCUGCAAAUGCUAAAAUUUAAUAUUAUAUCCAUUGACGAUAUUUGCUCCAAAUUCACGAAAAUAAAAUUUCUAACAGAAUUAUGAAAUUCGUUACUAGAAAUUUGUAUAAAAGUUGUGAGAAUAGAGGGUUUGAUCAUAGGAAAUUAAUAUAUCCCUAUCCGAUGCAAAAAUGAUUGUAAAGAAAAACAAAAGUCACGGGCUUAUUUAGAAAAAAGAAAAAAUUACAUUCCAAUUUCCAGUUAUUAACAAAGGAUAGGCUUUGGUUGACUGAGGUCAGCCUUAACGCACACCGGUCUUUUUCUCCUCUACAUCCUUAGAAAUUUUGGUUUCACUAAAAAUACUCGGUAUAUAGCAAACUUAUAAGUGUUCUUGCAUUACCAAUCCAACUAAGCACACUGUCACGGGAUGAGUGUUUUGCGCAGCUAACCCGUGCGGCACUUAGACAACUUUGCCGAAUGUUGCUAAGUAAGCCUAGAGAUUCUCGAACAAGAGAAGAGAGCAAUUGAGCCAAAGAAACUUGUAUUACACAAAGAGAGAUUACAAUGCUUGUUGGAUACAAAUGCUUAAUGCCAUCCCAUAUUUAUAGGGGAGGCUUUGCCUAACUUUGCCUAACUUCACCUAACUUCACCUAACUUUGCCAAACUUGGUCAAACUCUAGAGUAUUUUACAAUUUCCUAGCUAUUUGCAUGUGCUGGAAUUGUAUAAAGUAUUCUAGAAUAUUUACAUGUUCACAUGUGCUAGAGUUGCCUAGAACCUUCCGGAAUUGGGCCAAGCUAGCACUCUUGGCCUUGUGUUGGCUCUCUAGCCCGAAAUUGUGGGCAAUUGGGCUAGCGAAUUGGGCGGUCCGCAACAACACGCUUACAAUAUAAAUACUCUCAUCUCAUGGAAAGAGUUCAUUCUUUCAGGAUGAUGAGCAGAUUUCUCUUACUCCGUUGUUUGAUUCUUAUUUCCUUAUUUAUCGCGGCAGCAGCAGCCAACACAAGUUCUACUAUCACAGACCGAGAUGCUCUGUUAGCCCUGAAAGCUCACAUAACUCAUGAUCCGACCAAUUUCUUGGCCAAGAAUUGGAACACAAGUACUCCUGUCUGUAAUUGGAUAGGUGUCGCUUGUGAUGUCCAUAGCCAUAGAGUCAUAGUCUUGAAUAUUUCAAGCUUAAAUCUCACAGGCACCAUCCCUUCUCAACUUGGGAAUCUUUCUUCUCUGCAAUCACUCAAUCUCAGUUUUAAUCGACUUUCUGGUUCCAUUCCCUCCGCCAUCUUCACCAUGUCUACACUGAAAAAUGUUACCUUCCGUGAAAAUCAGCUCUCUGGGCAAAUUCCGACAAAUAUUUGUAGUAAUCUUCCUUUUCUUGAAUUUCUUUCUUUGACCGGAAACAUGUUUCAUGGAGGAAUACCGUCCGCUCUAUCAAAGUGCACAUAUUUGCAAAAAUUAAGUUUGUCAUACAAUGAUUUGUCGGGGGUCAUACCUAAAGAAAUCGGCAAGUUGACCAAACUCAAGCAUUUAUAUCUUGGCUUUAACAGACUCCAAGGUGGUUUAAUUAUGAAAAUUGUUGCAUAAGUUGUAGUAUGAAUAAUGUUCCAUAAUACAGUUUGCACACGUUGAUUAAUUUGCAGGAGAAAUUCCUCGAGAGUUUGGCAAUCUUACGGAAUUGGAGUGGUUGGCGUUGGCAGGCAACAAUCUCCAAGGCAUGAUUUUAAACUUUUUGAAAUUUUAUUUUAGCUAUGCUUGCUUCUGUAUUCAUUCGCUUGUUCUUUGAUUAUGCGAUGAUUUAUUGUUUUUCUUUCAGAUAGAGAUAAAGCUCCAUGUCUCCCCUCACUCAUUUCAUUCUUUAAUUUAUGCAGAUAAAAAUUAAAAAAAUGUUUUGUAAUUUUCUUUUGUCAUAUUGCAACUUCCGUUUUGAAGCUCCCAAUUAAGUCGAUGAAAAUGAAUGAUGUUUUAUUCUUAUUCUUGUCAGCCUAAUUCGUAUAUAAUUGAAGAGUAAAUUGUUAUUACGAUAUUCGUCGGCCAAUAAAUUCUUCUUUUUUUCCCCCAAAUAUGAGUGAUCAAAUUGUUUGCGCAUAUAUAAAUGUACUUAAUUUGCAGGAGGUAUUCCACGGGAAUUGGGGAAUCUUACAAAAUUGGAGAGGUUACAACUGUUCGAGAAUAACUUGACCGAUAACUUUCUAUACAAUAUAUAUACGAGACAUCUUCCGCUUUUUAUUAGAAAUUAUAAAUUCAAGUGAAAUCUUAAUUAAAAGAUUUCAAGUCUCUCAUUACAUAUUCUCACAUGAGGAUGUGUCGUUACCAUUAUCUAACAUUAUUCCGUUUUUUAUUAGAAAUUAGUUUGUGUUAAUUCAAAAUUCUGUAGCAUUUAAAAAAAAUUAAAAACACGUGGAAUAAAUUGUUAAUCUUUCUUCUUUACUGAAUUUGGAUUUCUCAAAAAUAAUCUUGACAAGUAUGCUUCACUAAUGAUACACAUGUGUGACAACUUCAUAAAAUAUUUUACAGGGAAUCACUAAUUAUGUUUAAAUAAUUAGAGAUGUCAGCAGUGAUACAUAAUUUCUUAACAAGCACCAUACUAAAAGAAAUCAACAAUUUUAUUAAUCUUAAGGAGUUACAUCUUCAAUGCAAUUAUAACAUAAAUUUUUAGUCAUCAAUCGCAUAAUAUUUUAUCUUAACGGAUGAUGUUCAGUCUUGGAAUUUAUAAUAUCUUGAAGGUUAGUAGCUUUGAAAAUAAGAAAUUGUUCAUUUGCUAAAAAGUUAACUUAGUAUUUUAGUUUUUCAAUUGAAAAUUUUGAAAAAAGUGUUGAGAACUGGCCCUCCUUAUAAAUAUGAAAAAUAGGCUAGAAGAAAUUAUUUUACUGAAAUAAGAGUUAAAAAGAGAGGAGAAGUACAGUACUCAUGACUUAGGUUUGCUGUGUGAGCUUAUUCUACUUGGGCUUUGGGCUUGAUUACGCCCGUUAUAAUAAUAGGCUUUUACUUUCACCACACAUGAUGAUUUCUUAACCUUCCCAAUUAGGUUAUAGCAAUUUAUAUAUAAAUAACUAAAGCAUACUAAAGCUAGCAUUGAUGUAUGGAUGAAUGGUGUAAAAAGUGUAUCUGUUUUCAUGUAUUAUUUAUUCUCUAAAACAUAUCUGAAUACAAUUCUUUCAAAAUACUAAGGAAAUAGCACAUGAAAUCGGAAAUAUUUUAUUGCGAUGAAAAUUCGUAUAUUCAUUGUCGUAGAACAUAUAAAAUAGACUAUAAAUUUAUUAUUCUUUGAAACAAACCUGAUUAUAAUUCCUUCAAAAUUAAGUUUGUCAUUAAAUGAUUUCUCAGGAGCCCUACCAAAAGAAAUCGGGAAUUUGACCAAACUCAAGGAAUUAUCUCUUAACCAUAACAGGCUCCAAGGUGCGCAUGAUCACAGAGUUUAAUUAUGAAAAUUGUUGGAUAAGUUGUAGUAUGAAUAAUGUUCCAUAAUACAGUUUACACACGAUGAUUAAUUUGCAGGCGAAAUUCCUCGAGAGUUUGGCAAUCUUGCCGAAUUGGAGCUGAUGUGGUUAUCAGAAAACAAUCUCCAAGGUAUGAUUUUAAACUUAUUGCAAUUUUAUUCUAGCCUCUGCUUGCUUCUGUAUUCAUUCGUUUGUUCAUUAAUUAUGCUGUGAUUAAUUGUUUUUCUUUCAGAUAGAGAUAAAGCUCCAUGUCUCUCCUCACUCAUUUCAUUCUUUAAUUUAUGCAGAUAAAAAUUAAAAAAAAAAUGUUUUGUAAUUUUCUUUUGUCAUAUUGCCACUUCCGUUUUGAAGCUCCCAAUAAGUCGAUGAAAAUGAAUGAUGUUUCAUUCUUAUUCUUGUCAGCCUAAUUCUUAUAUAAAUGAAGAGUAAAUUGUUAUUACGAUAUUCGUCAGCCAAUAAUUUUUUUUUUUCCCCCAAAUAUGAGUGAUCAAAUUGUUUGCGCAUAUAUAAAUGUACUUAAUUUGCAGGAGGUAUUCCACGGGAAUUGGGAAAUCUUACAAAAUUGGAGAUAUUACAUCUGUGGAAGAAUAACUUGACCGGUAACUUUCUUUACAAUAUAUAUACGAGCCAUCUUCCGCUUCUUAAUUAAUAGAUUUCAAGUCUCUCAUUAUAAAUUCUCAUAUGAGGAUGUGUCGUUACCUCUAUCUAACAUUAUUCCGUUUUUUAUUAGAAAUUAGUUUGUGUUAAUUCAAAAUUCUGUAGCAUUUAAGGAAAUUAAGAACACGUGGAAUAAAUCGUCAAUCUUUCUUCUUUACUGAAUUUGGAUUUCUCAAAAAUUAUCUCAACAAGUAUGCCUCACUAAUGAUAUGCAUGUGUGACAACUUCAUAAAAUAUUUUACAUGAAAUCACUAAUUAUCUUUAAAUAAUCAGAUAUGCCAUCACUGAUACAUAAUGUCUUAACAAGCAUCAUACCAAAAGAAAUCAACAAUUUUAUUAAUCUUAAAGAGUUACAUCUUCACUGCAAUUAUAACAUAAAUUUUUAGUCAUAUCGCAUAAUAUUUUAUCUUAACGGAUGAUGUUCAGUCUUUGAAAAUAAGAAAUUGUUCAUGUGCUAAAAAGUUAACUUAGUAUUUAAAGUUUUCCAAUUGAAAAUUUUGAAAAAAGCGUUGAGAACUGGCGCUCCAUAGUAUUUCAGCGGAUAAAUAUGAAAAAUAGGCUAGAAGAAAUUAUUUUACUGAAAUAAGAGUUAAAAAGAGAGGAGAAGUACAGUAUUCAUGACUUCGGCUUUUUGUGUGUGCUUAUUCUACUUGGGCUUUGGGCUUGAUUACGCCCGUUAUAAUAAUAGGCUUUUACUUUCACCACCCAAUUAGGUUAUAGCAAUUUAUAUAUAAAUAACUAAAGCAUGCUUAAUGUCACGGGACGAGAGGUUUCGAACCCGUGCGGCACUCUCGCAUCCCAUACUACGAGAGUAAGCCUAGUGGAAAUGGCACAAUGUCGACUGGUUUCGCCCUGCCUUGGGUUCAUCAGGAGAACGGCUUCAGUUCCCAACCAGUGUGCGUCAGGAUUUUCUUAGACCCCUCUUCAGCAUUAAGUCCUCGACUAGCGACAAGCUCCCCAAACUCAACCGGGUCGGCCUGCCUGAACUCCAAAGAGUCUAGGGCAUUGUAUUCCCCACACACACAUUCCUGAAGCACAUCUCCAACAAUCAGCACAACCAUCAUCGACACUAGCGUACAAGCGCAUAUCUUGGGUGCCACGAUUGCGGUCCGUGACAUUAAGCUAGCAUUGAUGUACGGAUGAGUGGCGUCAAAAGUGUAUCUGUUUUUAUGUAUUAUUUAUUCUCUAAAACAUAUCUAAAUACAAUUCUUUCAAAAUACCGACGAAAUAGCACAUGAAAUCGGAAAUAUUUUAUUGCGAUGAGAAUUCGUAUAUUCAUUGUAGUAGAACAUAUAAAAUAGAGUAUAAAUUUAUUAUUCUUUGAAACAAACCUGAUUAUAAUUCCUUCAAAAUUAAGUUUGUCAUUAAAUGAUUUCUCAGGAGCCCUACCAAAAGAAAUCGGGAAUUUGACCAAACUCAAGCAUUUAUCUCUUGACCAUAACAGGCUCCAAGGUGCGCAUGAUUACAGAGUUUAAUUAUGAAAAUUGUUGCAUAAGUUGUAGUAUGAAUAAUGUUCCAUAAUACAGUUUACACACGAUGAUUAAUUUGCAGGCGAAAUUCCUCGAGAGUUUGGCAAUCUUGCCGAAUUGGAGCUGUUGUCGUUAUAUGAAAACAAACUCCAAGGUAUGAUUUUAAACUUUUUGCAAUUCUUAUAUUGUUGAAGAAUUAAUUGUUAUUAUGACAUUUUGAGAUUAAUUGUCAUAGGAGGAUGUGUUGUUAUUACUAUUUAACAUUAUCUCGUUUUUUAUUAGAAAUUAGUCUGUGUUUAUGCAAAAAAAUUUAGCUUCUAAAAAAAGUAUAAAAACACAUGGAAUAAAUCGAAAAUCUUUCUUCAUUACUGAAUUUGGAUUUCUCAAAAACUACCAUGAUAGUUAUGUUAGUGUCUUACUAAUGAUAUGCAUGUGUGACAGCUUCAUAAAUUAUUUUACAUGGAGGAUUGGAGAUCUUAGAUAUGUCUGAAAAUUUUUUAACUGGUAUCACUCCAUCUAUCUACAAAUUGCUUUUCUCUAUUAAAUUUUGCUGUGUACUUAUUUUGCUUGGGCUUCGGGCUUGAUUACACACGGUUGAACACUUACAUCCCCCGACAUAGGCUUUUAGGGAUGAGUGGCGUUAAAUGUUUAUCUACUUUUAUGUAUUAUUAUUCUUUGAAACAAAUCUGAUUAUAAUUCUUUUAAAAUACAGAUUAAAUAGCACGUGAAAUCGGAAAAUAUUUUACUGCGAUAAGAAUUCAUAUAUUCAUUGUACUAGCACAUAUAAAAUAGACUAUAAAUUUAGUUCCAAAAUACAUUCUUAUCUUCAUAUAAAUUUUACAUUAUUAAUUUAAAUUAAUAUUAAAAUAUGUUGUUUCUUUCACUAUGUUAUUUUAUUUACACAAUGAUGUGACUAUUGGAAUUAAUAAUACUUUUAAUUAUUUUGUAAAAAUAUAAAUUUAAUACUUUGUUAACAUUUUAUCUACAUAUAAUAAUUAAACUGAAACUUGUAUUUAAAAAAUUCUAGUUACGCAUAUUCAUUUCAUGACAUAAAGUGUAUAUUUAUGCUAAUUUACCAUUAUCAAAAAAAUGCUUUGAGACAAAUAAUCUAAUUUAAAUUCUAUAUUUAAAAUAAUUGCAUUUAUUAUAUUUUGAAAAAAAUUUAUUUGCAAUUAUUUUAAAUCGUUGGAUUCAAUUUUUCGUUGUUAUUAAAGUCAAAUGGUAUAAAUGUAUAAUAGUCAAAAACAUAUUUGUAUGAUCAUUUUUCAAUGUAUAAAUUUUCUUAGUUAGUAGGAAAAUUAGAAAUUGUUGAUUUACUCAUAAAUAAAUUUAAUGUUUAGCAUUUCAAUUUUGGAAAAUUUGAGCUACACGUUGAUAACUUUGAAUCGGUCGAGCCGAGUUUCUCUUCCUUGACCCACGGACCCAUUGAAAGUUCUAUUCGAAUUGAGUUUCCCGGUGCUUAUAAAAAGCAUUUCUUUUCCUUGUCGCAGUAAUUUAUUCACAAAUGAGUUGAUUAGCAUCGAAGUUACCUGAGAGUCUGAGACUAUGUUAAUAGGAGAAAUUUGAAAAGAAAUUAUUUUACUGAACUAAUUUAUUUUAUCUUGCUGUAACUGAAAUACUACUUUUUUUUUGGGGCUAUCACUGGGGCUUGAUUUACUUUAAUAGUAGCAGCCACCCACUCAGGCGUUUUUUACUUCUCACCACACAAUUUGAUCUUUUAAUUUGUUUUAACCACAAAAUCUAUCUAUUUCUCACCUAUUGCUUACUUAAAUUGCAUACAUAUUUUACCUACUAAUUUUUAUAAAUAUUAGUCAAAUAUAUUUUAUUACGUUUCUCUCGUAACUACUCCAAAUGUGUACUAUUAAUACUUAACCCUCCCUUUUAAUUUACCGUGCAAUCUAUCUAUCACUUAAGUCACAUAUAUAUUUUACCCCAAAAAAUAUAAAAAUAAAAGAAAAAGAAUAUGCGUAGCAAUUUGCAUAUAACUAACAAAGCAUUGACGGUGUGUAGCUUUCAAUACUUCACGAGUGGCUUUUCUUGUGUGUUAGUACUUGUAAUAAUUGUGUAGCGUAUAAAUGACAUUUUAUUAUUAAAGUGCGUCCAUUUUUAGAUAUUACUUAUUAUUUGAAAAAUAAUCUGAAUAUAAUUCUUUUAAAAUGCAGGGGAGAUACCGCUUGAAAUCGGUAAUCUCCGAAAUUUGAAGGACUUGAUCCUUAGUGAAAACAAAUUAGUUGGUAUUGUCCCAUUUGCAAUCUUUAAUGUGUCAACGCUCAAAUUACUUCAGCUUCAAAAUAAUUCUCUCUUGGGAUGUCUUUCGUCCAUCGCAAACGUCCGACUACCAAAUCUUGAAGAGCUUGAUUUGUGGGCUAAUAAUUUCAGUGGCACAAUUCCUCAUUUCAUCUUUAAUACUUCUAAGCUCUCUAGACUAGAUUUGAACAGCAACUCAUUCUCCGGUUUUAUUCCCAACACAUUUGACAACUUAAGAAACCUUGAGUGGCUUAGUUUACGAGAUAAUUAUUUGACAUCUUCAACUCCAAAAUUGAGCUUUUUAUCCUCGUUGUCAAAUUGCAAUUCUUUAAGAUUUAUUGACUUAUCAGAUAAUCCACUGGAUGGCAUUCUUCCUAAGACGUCUAUCGGUAAUCUUUCUCAUUCUUUGAAAGAAUUUUACAUGUCCAAUUGUAAUGUUAGUGGCGGCAUCCCUGAAGAGAUCAGCAACUUGACCCACUUGACAACCAUUAUUUUAGGAGGCAAUAAAUUGAAUGGAUCAAUUCCGAUUACUCUCGGCAAAUUACAAAAGCUUCAAGGUUUGGGUCUUGGAGAUAACAAAUUAGAAGGAUCAAUCCCAGACGAUAUUUGUCGUUUGGCUGAACUGUAUAGAUUGGAGCUGGGCGGCAAUAAGCUUUAUGGAUCAAUCCCUACAUGCUUCGGUAAUCUGGCUUCUCUGAGGAUACUGUCGUUGGGUUCCAAUAAGUUAACUUCUAUUCCCUUAACUUUUUGGAACCUUAAGGAUAUCUUGCAACUCAACUUUUCAUCAAAUUUUUUGACCGGCCCACUCCCAUUAGAGAUUGGAAAUUUGAAGGUUUUGAUUGUAAUUGAUUUUUCGAUGAAUAAUUUUUCAGGCGUUAUCUCAACAGAAAUUGGAGGCUUAAAAAAUCUAGAAUAUCUCUUCUUAGGAUAUAAUAGAUUGCGAGGAUCGAUUCCUGAUUCAUUUGGUGAUUUGAUAAGUUUGAAAUCUUUGAAUUUGUCCAAUAAUAAUCUCUCUGGGGCUAUUCCUACAUCUUUAGAGAAACUCUCAUAUCUUGAAGACCUAAAUCUUUCUUUCAACAAGCUAGAAGGAGAAAUUCCUAGGGGAGGAUCUUUUGCAAACUUCUCAGCUGAAUCAUUUGAGGGAAAUGAAUUAUUAUGUGGUUCACCCAAUUUACAAGUCCCGCCAUGCAAAACUAGCAUCCACCAUACAUCAUGGAAAAAUUCUCUUCUCCUAGGGAUUGUCUUGCCAUUGAGUACUACAUUAUUGAUAGUAGUCAUUUGGUUGAUCCUAAGAUAUCGACAGAGAGGAAAACAACCAUCGAAUGAUGCUAAUAUGUCACUAGUAGCAACGUGGAGAAAAUUUUCAUACCUAGAACUUUGUCGAGCAACAGACGGAUUCAGUGAAAACAAUCUAAUCGGCAGAGGAGGUUUUGGCUCUGUUUAUAAGGCAAGACUUGGGAACGGGAUGGAGGUUGCAGUGAAAGUUUUCAAUUUGCAAUGUGGAAGAGCGUUCAAGAGUUUCGAUGUUGAAUGUGAAAUGAUGAAAAGUAUUCGCCAUCGAAAUCUUAUCAAAGUUAUUAGUAGUUGUUCAAAUGAAGAGUUUAAAGCAUUGGUAUUAGAAUACAUGCCUCAUGGAAGUUUGGAGAAGUAUCUGUAUUCAAGUAAUUGCAUUUUGGAUAUUUUUCAAAGAUUGAACAUAAUGAUAGAUGUUGCAUCAGCUUUAGAAUAUCUGCACUUUGGUUGUUCAGCUCUAGUAAUUCAUUGUGACUUAAAGCCCAGCAAUGUAUUGUUAGGCGAUAAUAUGGUUGCUCAUUUGAGUGAUUUUGGCAUCGCGAAGCUCUUAAUUGGAGAAGAUCAAUCUAUGACUCAAACGCAAACACUUGGCACAAUCGGCUAUAUGGCACCAGGUUUGUUCAAUAUAAAAAUUUUCUAUUUCUUGUAAACUUCCUAAUAAGUUAUUUAUGUUUCAUGAUCUUCAUUAGAUGAGGAAAUUCUUAUUAAUGAUAUAUCUUACUAUGUAACUAUUGCAAUUCAUAGAGUAUGGAAGAGAAGGACGAGUAUCCGCAAAUGGAGAUGUUUAUAGCUUCGGGAUUAUGUUAAUGGAAACCUUUACUGGGAAGAAACCCACAGAUGAAAUUUUUAACGGAGAAAUGACAUUAAAGCAUUGGGUUAAUGAACUGCUACCCAUUUCCACUAUGGAAGUUGUUGAUGCUAAUUUACUAAGGCAGGAGGACAUACAUUUUGCCGCAAAAGAGCAAUGUGUGUCAUUUAUCUUCAAUUUGGCUAUGGCGUGCACUGUGGAAUCUCCUGAGCAGAGAAUCAAUGCAAAAGAAAUUGUAAAAAAGCUUUUAAAAAUUAGAGACUCAUUACUUAGAAAUGUUGGAGGCAUAUGUAUAAGACAAUCAAAUUUAAAUUGAUUCUGCCCCUCCUUAAUUGCUUGCUAUCCUUUUCAGAAACUUGAACGGUUAUCCUUCAUACAAGUUUCGUUGAUAUGUUUUGUUAUUGCUCUUGCUCAUGUUUAUUUCUCUGUUUCUUUAAUUUGCAUGCAUGUAUUUUUCUUGCUCCUUUAUGUUUUUGUUGGUUUGUAUGUAGUUUGUUUUUGGGGGUAAGGUUGAUUAUGUCCUCCCCUAAUUAGACGUAUCCUUUUUAUUUUUAUUCAAUAAAGCUUCUGUAAUACUAUCAAGGUUCAUCAAAAGAAAAUUUUAAAUUAAUUUUCUUUUCUAUGUUAGAUAAUGAAAUUCUAAUCUUCAUAGUGAAUAACUUCAAUAAUAAAGUGUAAGAGUAUUAGUAGUUAUGGUUGUUUUCUGAACCUGGAGUCAAGAGCAAUUUAACAGCAACAAACAAGUCUCUUGUAUAAUAGGAAAAAUUCUUUUCAUUAAUCUUAUUUGUCUACAUGUUCUCCAAUUUUCUCCAUUAAUCUUCGCUCAAGGUUUCAUGCUUCCUCUUUGAUAAAGGAAAAUAUUACUCGUGAAUAUUUCAAAUUUUCAAUUUGACAUGAGCGACUGUUUGCCAGCCAUUUGAUAAAAUGGAUAUGAGUGGAGUUUUCAAUCAUUACCUCCUCCAAAAUCCUUACAACACCACUUUUUAAUUUUAUUUUUUAUAAUCCAUUCAGUUUAAUUUAAAAAAAUAAAUCCAUUUGUGGAAUUUAAUCUUUUUCUCAUAAAUUUCAACCUAAAAAAUAUAUUUCUCUUAAAUUUUUAUUACAAAAUAUUUACAAGUUCUAAACUAUUAAAUUAUUUUCUUCUUAUUAUAUAGUUUAUAUCUCCAUAACUCUAAACUCCUAUAAUUUUUUUAAAAAAUAUUUUUUAAUUUAAAAUAUAAAUAUAAAAUAUAGAAUGGAGUGAGAAUAAAAAAACUUGUUAAAAGAAUAAUUCAUUUAAGUAUUUAACUGAAUUUUAAAUUAAAAUAAGAAAUAAAUUAAUUUAUUUUUAUUAGUUAAGUAAUUUUCAAUUGAAAAAAAGCUUUUAGUAAUAUUAUUGAAAUAUGAUUAAAAUUCUUAUGAAUUAAACAUUUCGUAUAAAUACUAGUGAUAAUUACAGAGAAAGUAUGAUGAAGUGAAAAAACUUAAAUAUAAAUACUCUAGUAUAAUUUUACACAUGCAACUUAUGAACCAGUGAUCUUUAGAGCAUCAUAAAAUUGUUUUAACACAAUUAAUUGGUUUGAAAAAUUGCCAAUAAUGUCUACAAUGGGAUUUAAAAGAUUAAACUACAUAUAUAAGACAUGAUAUCAUUUAAGACGACUUACAGAUUAUGAGAAAUAUUUUGAUCUUCCAAAUAUUUAAAAUGUCAAUUAGACUGAGUCUAUGCAAUGAAAAUUUCAAAUAAAAAAUAAACCCUUUAUCUUCUUUUAAUCAUAAGUGUGAUCUUAAUCAUUAAAGUCAUUUAAUGUCCAUUACUUAUUCAUUUUUUUAAUUACCUAAAUGACAUUGAAAACUCUACUCAAUAUUAAUUCAUUCAAAUGUUUUGUUUUAAGGUAAUCGGAAACUGCAAAUGAAACAAAUGCUUGAAAUCACAAACGGCCUAAAAUUAGAUUUUCAUUUUUCAAUGUUGCAGUGACUUUGAUGUUGAUAUUGAAAUUUUAUUUGUAACUUAUAUAAAGGCCUCAAUUUUAUCAUAAUUGGUUAGUAAGGCUACGUAGGGACCAUCGAUAAAUUUUGGGAUUGGAUUAUAUUUUUGGAACUAAAAAUUUAAUUUCAUCCUAUGUUAUGUUUGGCUGUUAGGACUAGCAACUUACUCUAAAAUUAUUGAAAUUAUUGAUGUUUUAUAUUAUAAUCUUUUCAUUACAACUUUAAACAUUAUUGGUAACUUAAAUCAUUUUUUAAAUUAAAUAUAAAAAUUAAUUUAAUUAAAUAUAAAAAUCAUUUAAAUUAAAUAUAAAAAUCAUUUAAAUUAAAUAUUAACAUUAAUUCAUAAUUUUUUACCUAGAAUUUUAUAUUAUAUUAAAUACUAAAAUUCUAUUCGAUAAUGUAUUAUCAUUUAUUUAAUAAAUGUUUAGUAUGUUAUAUUAUUAUUUAAAUUAAUUUUUUAUUUACAUAUAAACAUAAAUUAUUAUUUACUAAUUUAAAUUUAUUAUAAUUAGUUAAAUAAUAAAACAUAAAUGAUUAUAUUGAAAAUAUAAAUAGUAUUCUAAUGUAUUAUAGUCUAAAUCUUACCCCUAUGAGAUUAUUUUAUACACCUUUUAUUAUAUUAACCACAUUUAUAAUGCAGUGCAAUGUAACAAAAAAUUAUAACCAAAUAUGAGUUAGCAUGAAAAUAAUAUUUUAGUGCAAUAUAAUACAAUGUAAUGUAAGCUAACAAAUGGAUAUUUAAUGGAAGCAAAAAUUGCAUAUGGCUUGUGGGUCUCUUAAAAGACAAUGAAUAAACCAAUAUGAUACACUGAUUCUGUCAUCUUUAAUGGUGUCUUUACUAAAUGGGAAUCAGAAUAAGUUAGAAUUGGAAUGAGCUUGAAUCGAAAUAAGGAAUUAGAAUAAAAAUGAAUUGUUUAUUUAAUUUGUAUGAAUCAGAAUCGGAAUAAAUUUUACUCAAAUUAAUAUGUUUAUUUUCUCUUAAAAUUAUAAUGCACUAUUACAAGUUACUAAAAAAUCAUUUGGUAAUUGUUGUCUCUACUACCACUACUACUACCACAACUACUACUACUACUACCACUACUACCACUACUACUACCACUACUACUAGUACUACUACUACUACCACGACUACUACUACUACCACGACUACUACUACUACCACGACUACUACUACUACCACGACUACUACUACUACCACGACUACUACUACUACUACUACUACCACUACUACUACCACUACUACUACUACUACCACUACUACUACUACUACCACUACCACUACUACUACUACUACUACUACUACCACUACUACUACUACUACCACCACUACUACCACUACUACGACCACUACUACCACUACUACCACUACUACCACUACUACUACUACUACUACUACUACCACUACUACUACUACUACCACUACCACUACCACUACUACUACUACUACCACUAUUACCACCACUACUACUACUACUACUACUACCACUACCACUACUACUACCACUACUACUACUACUACUACUACUACCACUACUACCACUACCACCACUACCACCACUACCACUACUACCACUACUACUACUACUACUACAGUCUCUCAUUUUCUAUUUCUAAUUUGAUGUGGGUCUUACUAUUUGGAUUCCAAUUCUUAUAUUUAUUUGUGAGACAAAAUUAUGGUGCAACUGUAGUACCAUUGGAUUCAGCUACAGUUAUCAUCAUGACUUGAUAUAAUGAUUAAAAGUAAUUGUGGUACAUUUAUUUAUGAAGUAAAAUGAUGUUAAUAAUUUCGAUUUCCAAUUCGAGAAGUAAACACAUCAUAAUAUUUUUUUAGAUGCUUCUAUGCCAUAAUCUCAUUGGUCCAUUUUUCUUCACGCCUUAGAUUCAACUUCAAGAUUCAAGAUUCAAGAUUCAAUUUGAAGCAAACACAACUACAAAACAAAUAUAAUAAGCGUUAAUAAGCCUGUGGCUGACUGGCUGUGGCCAAGCAAAUGUACUACCUCAUAGUGAUUAGUGACCGUAUCAUAUCUUAUUAUCUUACGCCAGAAGCUAAACAAUGUUCCCAUUCCACGUGUCACUCUCUGACCAAUCCCCGAACUUUCUUCAUAUUUCCAAAGAAACCCUCACCAAGUCAAGAUAAUUACCUUCACUCUACUCAUAUAAAUACUGUCCUCCAUUCGACUGAUGUCUGAUGACGACAUAUCCUUAGUCUUUAUUUAAAAGGGGAAAUUAUAAAAAAUUCUCCUCGUUCCCUGAAAAUCUAGGGUUUCUCAAGAAUCGCUAAACCUAGGUCCCAAUCCUUCAAAAUCUCAAUUUAAACUCUCUAGGGUUUCAAUUGUCGAGCAUUCGCUUCAAAAUUUAGUAUUUUUUAGGGGAUUUUGCUUGUCUCGUAUCCUUCAAUUGUUGUUCGGUUCUGAAAAUAAUUUGGAAUUUUAGGGAUUUUCAGAUUAUUUGGUUUUGCUUGAGCGCAAUUUCCUCUAGUUACGGUUUCAGUUUGAAGGGUUAAGUGCGAUUUCGAAUAUUUUUAUAAAAUUAAAAUUAAAAUUCAUAAAACGAUUGGGCGUUUAAUAAUUAAUUGAUGGCUAGCGAUACUACAACGGCGGCCGCAGCUGCGGAAGAAGCAGAGGCGGUGGAGGAGUAUGAUAGCGAUCCAGAUGAAGUGAAACGCUCUCUUGCGAUGCGCAGAAGGGAAGCCAGCGAUGAGGAGGUUGAGGAGGAUAAAGAUUCAGAGCUUCCAAUAGUUCAAAGUGUCCACAUUCCUGCGGGAAGCCGAGGCUGUGGAUGAGUAUGAGAGCGAUCCAGAUGAAGUGAAACACUCUCUCAUUAUGCGCAGAAGGGAAACAAGCGAGGAUGAUGAGGAGGAGACAUAAUUUGAGCGUCGAAUGAAUUGAAGGGUCCAGAUUCACUCUUACAUUGAAUCUGAUGGCCAAGGUGGUGCUCCAGCUGAGUAUGAUGAUGAAGAAGAAGAAGAGGAACAUGACAGAGAAUUAGAAGAAGAAGAUGAAGAAGGGGAUGUUUAUGAGGCUGUAGAGGAAGAAGAAGUUUAUGAAGAAGAGGAGAGGAAUGAUGGGGCUGUUAAAGUCAAAGGAAUAGAGGGUAAUGAUGCAUGAGGAGUACGGAGGGUGCAGUGGAAGUGAGUAAAGGGAAUAAUGAUAAUCGCAAUGGUGCUAAAAGAAUGAUGCAGCAGAGGAGGGAAUGGAGGAAGAGAAGAAGGAGAGUAAUGAGCCUUUUGCACAGCAGCUGGGGCUUUUUAUAUGGGACAAUGUUGCAGGUCGACACAGGUAUUAUUUGAUUUGAGUGACAAUUUAUAAAUAGCUAAUAGCUAUGGGACAAUGUUGCAGGUCGACACAGGUAUUAUUUGAUUUGAGUGACAAUUUAUAAAUAGCUAAUAGCUUUACUUUCAUUAGGGCUUGUCAAUUAAUCCAGUCUCAAGUUUUGGUGCUGUAUAAUGAUUGUUUGCUGGAAUCUGUGUAGAAGGCUUUUGGCCUAGUAGGUUGAAAGGAGAGAAAGUUCUCAAAUAAACAUCUGUGCUUUGUGGAAUAUAAUUAAUAGGUACAAAGCAUACUAAAUUACUUGACAGAUAGAUGCCGAGCUAAUCAUGGGCUAUGAUAGCAUUAUCCGUGCUUUCUGUAUUUUUAAUAGGGCUUGUCUAUUUCAAAGUGUGUAGUGUAGAAUUUUUGGGUUUAGUUUGAGUGAUGAAGUGUUAGAUAGGUUUCUGUUUGGCAUAGUUAAGUGGUUAAUACGAGCUAUUGAAGCAAAUAUGGAGUAGGAUAUCUAGUUUUGGGUUUGGUCUUAGUUUGAAGAUGGCUACUGAUUAUGCAGCUAGGUACGUAUUAGUGUUUGUGGAUUGCUAAAUGCUUUCUGUCAAAUGUGAGUAGAUUAUUACUUGAAGUGCAUGGAUCUUACACUUAAUUAAUUAUAUAUCCAUUUGUAAUGUUCAAAAUGAUCAUGUACUAUUGCUUAAAAUUAUGUUUUCAAGCCAUGGUUGUAAUGUGUCUCUAAAUUCAGUAAUACAAGUUCUGUCAAUUGCUGUCGGAUGGCAGUGACUUGAAUAGUUUAAUGUUCAUUUGCAGACAAAAUUUGAGAAAGAAAACUAAAAAUUUCUGUGCGUUCUGCUGGAAAUUUAAUUAGCUUCAUUUGAGCAUUAAUUGCUGGCAUUAUCUCUUAGAUUUCUCUUGCAUUGAAUGAAUGGAUGAGUGCUAAUCCAUGCAAAGACUCCCAUGCAUACACAAUGAAUGCUUCAUCAAAGGUAUGGUAAAAUGUCAACACGCUUGGCCCAAAUUAUCAAGCUGGUGUGGUGGCUGCUAGAUUUGUUCAUCCGGAUUUUGGACCAUUUUCAUUGACAAUGAGAAAAGCUGCAAGAUCUGUAAAUCGGAAACUCAUUGAAGUGCCAAAAGAGAGAUGGAAGUGAAUAACAAGAGAGUUAGUGAAGAGAGGGUGCAGUGAUUGUGUGGGAAGCUUUGGGUUUACUUGGGGUUUGGAUGUGAGAUAAAAUAAUUUGAGAGAGAGGUUGUAACAAUUUUUCGGUAAUAGAGUUUUUCAGGUAACUCUUGUGUUGUGUGAUUAGAGUAUUCUCUAUUGUAUUUUGUUUUUUGUUAUUUAUUUGACGUAUUGCUAGCGGAGAUCUUGGGUGGGAACCAAAAAUUCCCAACAAUUGUCAAUUGUUUUAAACUCUAUUUCGAACAGAGCAUGAAGGGAUUCACUUAUCUGAUUAUGUCUUUUAUGCUUUAACUUCACUUGAUUUCAUCUUGUCUGUCACCUUUAUUAAAGUUGUAUAUGUUGGGAGUAUUAGGUUCAUCACAGGGAUCAUAUUAUGGCUAAGGAAGGGGCACAGUUUAUCAGCUGCACUCAAGUGUAGCAGAGUAUUUGGAUUCAAGACUGUUAGAAGGUUGUUACAAUGCAAGGCUGUUGCUGUGUAACUGUAUGCCAUUCUCGCAAGUGCACUCUUAACAGAUUGCUGAGGUGGCACCGGAUGUUUUUAGCUAAUAUUAGUUAUUGGUCUAGAGUGUUCUGAUUUAUUCUAUAAAUAGCUCAUUCGAGCUUAGAACCUUUAUAGUGUAUCAUAGGUUUCUGUUUCUUCUAAUAACGAUUUUCUCUAUUCCUUUUUCUUUCACUUUCUCUUUCAUUUUCAUGAUCCCCAAACACCAUCAAUCCAUGAUUUUCUAGAGUAUUAGUUGUCUAUUUCUACAAACAUAGAAUUGUUGUUUUAAGAAACAAAGUACUCUGUCCUGUCACCCGCGGUCUUCUUGUUUAUCGACUUGUGAACAGGGCUAAAUAAACGGCAAAUAAGAUAUUGGGUCAAUGGGUCUAACGUGACAAGAUAUUGAAUUAUUGCCCUUUUCUUGUCUCCACAAAUUUUUGGUAAAUUUUUAGGUUCCCUCAACUUUUUUCUCCUUUAGCACUAAAAUUCAUUUUUGAUACUUUAUGCAAAAAUUAUGAUGAAAAUGAGUCACUUUAGAACAUCAAUAAAUUUUUAUUUUUACAUCCAAGAUGACGAUAGUUACACUUAGAUCACUCUCAUUUAGUUGAAUUAUAUAGGUAAUAAAGUUGGCUUAACAAAAUAUGAUUCUUAACUGUUGUAAUUAAGGGCUAGUAUUCUUUGGUUUUAGUUGUAGGGUUUAUAAUGCUGUGGCUCAGUUCUUGGUGGGUUCGAAUUAUUAGACGAUCAUUCUCAAUCCUUUACGAUUCAUAAUUAAAAAUUCCUAUAUCACAAUUAGAACUUACAAACAAGUCAAAGUGGGUUAAAUCUUAUGUAUAAAUUUGAGGUCUAUUACAAACUUUUAAAAAAGAUUUUUACCAUAUAAAAAAAUACUAUUCCAAAAAAAAUUGAAAAUCCAACCAAUUGAAUCGGUUCAGUGUCACUCAAAAUGUGUGUGUGUGUGUGUGUAAAACAACACAAUUAUCAUAUUAAUGAGGCACUGUUAAAUUCAUUCAAUGAAUAUUUUUCUUUUUCAUUUUCAAUGAAUGCUUAAAAUGACAAACAAUCGCUUGUUUUACAAUUCUUUUAUAUAUCUUUGAAACUUUCAGCUUCCCAACACAUCAUAUUGUUCUCAAUUCGUCUAAAUUAUUAUUAUUUUUUUUUCAAACACUGCAGCAACAACCAGUAUAAAAUAGAAUAAACUCAUUUAAUGGAAAUUUUCCUAGAGGCUUUCAUGGCAGAAUCUCAUUGGUCUAUUUCUCUUCGCACCUUAGGUUCCUCUAACAAACCUACCUCUUAACUCUCAUGUCCGAAUUUAAACUUAAAAGAUGUUCCCCGUCCCACGUGUCCCCAAAUAUUUGUAUUUCCAAACAAACCCCUGCCAACUAAGUCAAGUGAUAGGAUGGCUUUUAUUACAAACUGUAUGAACGUUAUGGCCAUGGGACAUUGGAUAAAACUAAUGGAAUGUAAAGCAAAAUUACCGAUUAAACUAAAUUGAAAAUCCAACCAAUUGAAUCGGUUCAGUGUCACUCAAAAUAUGUGUGUGGUGGUGUGUGUAAAACAACACAAUUAUCAUAUUAAUGAGGCACUAUUAAAUUCAUUCAGCGAAUAUUUUUCUUUUUCAUUUUCAAUGAAUGCUUAAUAUGACAAACAAUCUGUCCCAUUGAGCACUGUUUAAGUCAUUCAAUGAAAAUGAAUACUUCUAUAACAAAACAAUAAUUCCCUUUUUUAUUUGACACGCAAAGAAUUUUCUUGCUCAGCUCGGCGGCCAAUCCUUUAAAAUUUGUUAAAAUUCAGUUAAUUGAUGAACGAGACAUAACCCAAUAAAUCGUUUAAUUUGUAUAAUUGAUAAAAAUUUGAACUUCAAAUAAAAUAGAUAGAAUGAUUAAUUUUUUUCAUAUUUAGAUAAUUGAUAUAUGUCAUGUUACUAUGAGUAAAAGAAUGAAGUGUAUGAUAGAAAACAUAAUGUUUAUGUUUGUAUUAAAAAUUUUAAGUGCAAAUCUAUUUAGUGUAGGUUAGACAUAAAAAUAAUUACCAACUUGUCUUGUUUCUCAUUUUGUUUAAUUUUCCUAAUUUGAAUAACUAUUAAUUAUGAGUCAAGGGUUUAUUGCAAAAAUAUGGUCUUCCAUUUACUAUAAAAAGAUUAGCGUGAUUUAAUUAUUUUUCUUUUUGCUUGGUGUCUGUAAAAUUAUGAAUACUUUGGUAAAUAAGAUAAUUAUAAAUACCAUUUUGAAAACCCAUGGCCAUGGUUGUGAUGUAUCUUUAUCAAUCACGGAUACAAAAAUUAAUCAAAAUUAUCGAUUGAUUACUUUUUAUACUUUGACUUCACUUAAUACAGCUUCUUCCUCUUUUAACUGUAUGCCAUGCCGGCAAGUGUAUUGUACAGAUUACUGAGCUAGCACCGAUAACUAAGCUAAUUAUUAGGAAUCAAUCUAGAGCGUACCUGUAAAUACAAUAGGUUGCUUAGGUGGCACCAAUAUAUUAACUUUAUGCCGUGUUUCUGGUGUGUCUUCACAAAUUCACCGAUAAAAAUUAAUUUCUACCAAUAUUACCAAAUGAUUGUAUUUUACGUUUCUAUUUACUUGUAAUAAAGAUCUUCCAUGUGUAUAUAAGUGUUGAUUUUUAACUGAUAGCUGAUAGCUGUAUUUUCAUGGUCAUUCAAUUUUAUUGGGUACAAAAUUCUCUAGGAUUGCAUGUACAUUAUACUUUUAUAUACAUAUUUUCUUCUUUCUCAUUCGUUUUCUGGGUGAACAUAUUAUUUUCGUCAUCAUCUCUAUAACAAUCAAGUAAAAAUAGUCCUCAUUUAAAGUAUUGGCAGCAAUGUUAUACUCAAUAUAACGUAUAAAGCACGCAUAAUUUACUCAAUGGGGUAGCUGCUAGUACCUUCUUUAGAAGAGAAUUAUUGCGGCAAGGUAAUUGGAAGCUCAAAGAGUUUCCGUAUUAGCCGAAUCUAAGCGAUAAGUGUUUCCAUGUGAGCCAUAAUUUGGGAAAAAGACCAAUUCGAGUUAAAGAUCAGAAAACAAACAGUGUCAACAAGCAUUAAUGUCAUUUGAUGCAUGAAAGACAAUUAAUCCCAUUUUUUGUCCUGUUUACUUGGCUUGGGCAAUUUGCCGUCAACUUUUCUCAUCCACGUCAGGUAAUGUGGGUUUUAUUUGGUAUGAAAAAGCCAAUGCUUUACGAUAAAACUAUCACACGCAUAUUAUCCAUCUGUAAUGUUCAAAUGACACUCAAGUAUUACCCAAAUUAGCCUUUCAAAAAUUCAUUUUCAAAAACCCAUGGUUGUGAUGUGUCUCUAUAAAUUAAGAUCUAUCUGUUACUAACUGUUUUAACUCUAUUCUGAACAGAGCUUGAAAGGGUACAUUCACUUAUCUAGUUAUGUUUUUUAGGCUCUCACUUUACUUGAUUCACUUUAUCCCUCUUUUGAAACAAUUGUUCACUGGCUGCACUCAGUUGACAGAAUAUUUUGGGAUUCAAGACUGUUGGUUGUUACGGAUGCAACUUGCAAGGCUGUUGCCAUGCUGGCAAGUGUGCUGCUAUAACAGAUUGUUGAGAUGGCACCAAAGAUUGUAAACUAAUUAGUACUGGAAAAUCAUGAGUUUGAUGAUGAAGAGGACGAAAAAUAUUAUUUUAUUAUUUAAAAAUAAGACUAUCAAUUAUUUCCAUGGUCAUCUUAUUUUUUUUUAAUUAAUUGGCCUAAAUAUUGUAUUUUUUGUCAGGAGUCUUGCAAUGCUGCGUAGCACCGUAAGUAAGAAGAAACGUGUCUAAGGUUGCCACGUGUUGUCUCAACAUCUGUGUGAAAACCGAAUUAACCAGUUUGCGUUCGACAACAAAGGAAAAUGCUUCUUGUUGCUGACCGAUUGCUAAGUAUUUCAAUACCUCCACCAAAAUCUUUAUAACACCCUUUUUAAUUUUAUUUCUGAAGAGUAAUGAUGUAGUCAUAAAUUCUUGUACAAACUUAUUUUGUACAAACUGACGUGGCAUGAUAAGAUUGGUUGAAUUAAAUAUCACUUGACCCACAUGAUUUGUUUUUAUUAUUUUAUAUUUUCAUUCAACCAAUGAAUUAAUGACACGUUAGUUUGUAUACAAUAAGUUUGUACAAAAGUUUGUGGCUGUAUCAUUACUCUUUUCUAAAAUACACUUAGUUUAAAAAAAAAAAGAGCUUUAUGAGAAAUUUUCAGUGUGUCAAAAGGCCUACUUAAUGGACUGGAUCCCGACUCAUUAAUUUUAUAACCCGACUUACAAUCCGACUCAUUAUUCACAGAGAUUAAUUUUCUAUUGCUUAAGGCACAAUAUUUACUAAGCAAUUUAUCGGCAAUAAAACAUGUAUAUUAUAGUGGUUUGUAAUAAAAUUGGAAGAAGACAUCACGUACGAAUUGGAUUUAUCCCAUGAAAUUUGAUUAACGAAAGUGUAUGAAAAUCUAUAAAGAAAAUAGUAAAAACAAUUGUUGUGUAAAUGUUGUAUAGGUGAUAUAUUACUUUUAUAAUCCAUCAAGGUACAUUUGAUUUUAAUGAUGAAACAAAUACAAAUAAAUCCAUGUAUGUCAAUGCUAGAUGGUUCCAUAUUAAACUUGUGAAGUAUAGAAAAUAAGCGAGAUUCGUAAAAAAAUAUUUUAGAUAAUACCACUGAAAAGUUAUAAAAAAUAUUUAAAAAAAAGAAAUACAUACUUGAGACACCAAGACUGAUACGCACAAACUCACACAUUUACAUAUUAAUUGAGGGAAAAAAAUAAUAUUCUGAGUAAUAUUGUUGACAUAUGAUUAAAAUUCUUUUUAAUGAAACAUUUUCGUAUAAAUACUAGUGAUAUUUGUAGAGAAAGUAGAAUGAAGUGAAAAAAAAACCUUGAAUAUAAAUGCUCCAAUAUAAUUUUUCCCAUGCCAAUUAUGAACUAGUGAACUUUAAAGCAUCAUAAAAUUGUUUCAACAUAAGUAAUUAGUUUGAAAAAUUGCCAAUGUGGGAACGAAAAGAUUAUACUAUACAAGACACGAUAUUAUUUAAGACAACUUGUAAAUUAUGGGAAAUAUAUCGAUCUUACAAAUAAUAUUUAAUAAGUACAAAUUUCAAAUUAAAUAAUAAAUCCUUAAUUUCCCUUUAAUCAAAAUUAUGAUCUUAAUAAUUAAAGUCAUUCAAUCUUAAUCACUUUUUCAUUGUUUUAAACUAUCUAAAUGACAUCGAAAACUCUACUCAAUAUGGGAUUUUUAUUUAAUUAUUUAAUAAUAUACUACUAUCUAAUAAAUCAUUAAUUUCCUUUUAUUCGAAUUUAAUAAUAUACAUAAUUUGAGCGUCGAAUGAAUUGAAGGGUCCAGAUUCACUCUUACAUUGAAUCUGAUGGCCAAGGUGGUACUCCAGCUGAGUAUGAUGAUGAUGAAGAAGAAGAAGAGGAACAUGACAGAGAAUUAGAAGAAGAAGAUGAAGAAGGGGAUGUUUAUGAGGCUGUAGAGGAAGAAGAAGUUUUUGAAGAAGAGGAGAGGAAUGAUGGGGCGGUUAAAGUCAAAGGAAUAGAGGGUAAUGAUGCAUGAGGAGUAUGGAGGGUGCAGUGGAAGUGAGUAAAGGGAAUAAUGAUAAUGGCUAACGAAGGACCACAGCUCAUUGGCUGCACUCAUGUGUAGCAAAGUAUUUGGACUCAAGACUGUUAGAAGGUCGUUACAGACGCAAGACUGCUGCUGUGUAACGGUAUGCCAUGCUGGCAAGUGGGGCACCAAAUAUUGUGAGCCAGUAUUCGUAAUUAGUGUAGAGUGUUCUGAUUUAUUCUAUAAGUAGCUCAUUCGUGCUUAAAACCUACAUGUAUUGUAUGUUUCUAUCGGUAAUUUGAUUACCUUUCCGUACUUUAUCAAUCAUUGAAUGAUUUUACUGGUUUAAUUGCUUGAUUGUUUGAGUAUAAUCGGUAAUUUGAUCGUCUGUCAGCAAGUGAUUUACAAUUCACUCUCCAAUUUUCAUUAAUUUAGUGUAGCAAAGCUUUAACUAGAUAGGUAGAUAACGUGGUCAUGAAAACUUGAUUAAGAGUUUAGUGCAAUCAAAUCUACUUUAAUGAUUAUUUAAUGCACGGAGAUUUAACAUCAAUUAUCAUCACGUUAUUCUAACAACGAGAUUGCAGAGCUUGGAUCUUUACUCGAACAGUUUCAAUUCCUGUAUGAUCAUUUCCCCAACUAUUAUUUGAAUAAUUAUUUAAUGCCGUUCAUUCCAGCUCUGUUUGGCUGUUAACUUUAUUUUGUUAUUUAUGAGGAGAUUCAUUUCUCACCUGAAGCUAGAAAUUUACGGAUCAAUGACUUUUUAUUUUUUCUUUUAUAUGAUAGCUUGCAAUCCCUGGUGUCUGUUGAUAGUGCCUUACAUGAAUACAAAAAUGAACAAUUUUUUUUUUUUUGGGGCCAAUUGCAGUUUUGAUAACAACUAAAAUCUGUGUGGUCCAGUUACCACAGAGCCUUGCCCAAGAUCCCUGCCAUUUUCUCCUCCACCUCCAUUUGGGGAAAUUACUACUUACUUUUUGCAAGUUUUUCUUGAAAUAUUUAUUUUGAGAAGAAAACCAACAAUACAUUUUAUGAUUUGGGCUCUUUCAAAGAUCUUCGCUUGAUGUCUCCGCUACUGGUUUUCAGUAGAGUGCCCAAAAAUAAUCAGUGCACGCACUAUAGGCUCUAUUAUUAUCAGUAAAAAGCACUAAUGAUAUAAUGGGAUCGACCUUUUUAUUUGGGAGUGGAAGGAUGCUUGAAAGAGUAGAGUGGUGCAUCUUGUUCAAACAUGCACCGUAGAGCCAAUUCCAUUUUAUGAAAUAGGAGUUAGACUGAACAACGUUAUGUCUUCGUUAUCAUUUCAGAAGGAAACAAAUCAAACAAUGCCGAAAUUGAGUGCCCACACAUUUUCAUGCCCAAAUUGAGUGCUGGAAUGGUGGUCAAAUCUCGAACGAAGACAGAUCUAUCAAACUCCAAAUCUCGAACAAGGAAUUAAAUCUGAAGUUUACGCGCAAACAAACUGAAAUCUGAAGUUUGCUGAAGUUAAGGGACAAGAGCGCAAAACAGAAACUCUGUCCACUACUGAUGAUAUAACAACGAACCUUUGUUUUUUUUUUUAAAAAAUAAUAAUAAUAAUACAACGAACCUUUUUUUUUAAAAAAAAAAAAAGAGUAACAAAAUAUCAUUGGACAAAUGAAAAUAUUUUUUCAUGUCGUUCAGAUAACUGAUUGAUAAAGUAUCAUUAGACAAAUGAACCUUUGUUACCUAAUUCAGCCUUGUUUUCUUUGAACCAGCGCCUGAUUCACAAGACUCCAGUAAUUUGGCUUUUGAUCAACUGAUUGAUAAAUGUUCAAUUUCUUUGGUGAUAAAUGUGUAUGUGAAGCAGGCAGCAGGGCAUGACUGUGGAAAAGAGAAGAUUUUAGUGAAAGGCGAGACUCAGAUAAUUCUACGCGUUUUGGCUGAUUUAUAUAAUUCGUGAAAUUUUAUUUCCAUCUGUUACAAGACAAACUGAAGCAUAACUCAAAGAAAAGUAUUCUACUUCUUGCGGCAAUCUUGCCUUCAUUCAGACUAUGAACCAUUUCCUUUCACCAAGUUCUUCCUAAACAUUGAAUAAGUUUCAUGGUUGGACAUAGUUAGCUUCUGUAUCUUUCGGUGCAUUUUGGUACUAUCAAGUGACAGCCGUAAAUAUGAUUGCAUUAUUGGGAAAUUUUACGAUUUGAUGGUUCCCCACGUUAUUGCCGAGAAAGUCCUCAUGUCAGAAGCUGCGGUUCUUUUCAUCAGCCUGAACCCGAACCUGUCGCUAUGGAUAAUUCAGGUUUUUGUCAUCAACUAUAUCAUCUUUUUCACUGUUUUGAAACUCUUAAUAUUAAACUUCAGUAAACUUCAGAUUUCAGUUUGUUUGCUGGAAACUUGUAUGGUGACAAGGAUACUUGCAAGGAUAAUGAGAUAGUUUUUUGUGUGAGUGAAUUUUGAGAGCUUGAGUGUUCUGGGAUUUGCAAUUGCAAUCAUCCUCUGUUUCUGGUGAUUUCUUCUCCUGCUCUGUCUUUAUUUGCUCUCUAAUUGAAAAGCAUAAAGUAUUUCAAUCAAAUUCUGUACCAGGAAUACUUUAAAGUUACUGAUACUUUAUUUCCAUCUGUUUGCAUUGAUAACUUGGCGGCAUAUGUACUAGUUAAAAAACAAACAGAAGUAGAGUUCAGGAAAAAGCUUCUUCGGCCACCAUAUUUGAAAAUGAAACCAUUUCCUGGAAGCAGUUGGCAGCAAAUUCGUAUAAAGUGUAGACAAUUAUUAGCAGAAAGGUGAUUCACAAUUUCAUUUUUUUAAAAAUGAAAUUAUUUGUUAAGUUGGAGCUGAUACUGUUAGAAGGCCAAUGAGCUAACCUAUGACACUGCUUGCCUAGUUUGCAGGAGGUCAAGGCUCAAAAGAAGCACUGAAUUUUAAAAGUCAUGCAAUAAUUCUUAGGGCCAUAUGUCAAUUCAUGUAAGUUUGAAUAAGUUUAAUGGUGGAACGCUUUUAGCUCCUUUUCCUUUCGUGCAUUUUGGGGUGCUAUCAAGUGACCGCCGUAUGUAUGGCUGCAUAUAGCUGCUUCUGGGAAAUUUGAGGAUUUGAUGGCUGCCCGUAUUAUUGUCUUAAAUUAGAUGUGAUAAACUGUUGCUUAGAGAUUCUGUUGCCGAGACUUUGCUCACAUCAGAAGCUGUGGAACCUGAACCCUUCUCUAGAUAUCAUCUUUUUCAUUGUUUUAAAACUCUCAGGAUUAAACUUAAGUAAAUUUGUUCGGUUGGCUAUAUAAUCAGGUCAAGUAUAUUGGGCAGGCAAAUGUCAAAACUGUUGUGUGCGAAAUGCGGAAUCAAGUGCACCAAAUAAUUACAGAAAAAUAAAGAACACAAGAAUUUACGUGGUUCGAUAAUUAAACCUACAUCCACGGAGGCAAGAAAGAAUAAUUGUUUAUUUAACAAUUAAUAGAGUACAAUAUUUGAGUAACGAAUCUCACUUCCUAAAAACCCAAAUAUACCCAGUACUCUCACACUCUGCAGGAAAGAUAAAUUCCCCAGACACACUUCUCUCACUUCUCUCAAAAGCUUAGAAACUUAUAAGCUUUAACAAUUUUGGGAUGAUUUCAAAUGAAUGAAAUCCUUAGCUAUUUAUAGGAGAAAUGAAUUACUAUGCUAAGAAUAAAAUAAUUAAAAAUUAUUUUAUUUUUAAUUAUUAUUAUUUUUCAAAUCCAUCCCCCGUUCUUUCUUUUCGACUUUACAAAAUCAACAAAUUGUUGGUGCACCAACAAUUUGUUGACUUCAACAAAUUUGCACCAAUAAUUUGUUGACUUCAACAAAUCUCCACCUCGACGAAAUUUUUUCAAAUCUGAGCCGACUACCAACGAGCCAUCAUCCCCAAAGUGGCUGCAUCUCUAUGACUGCCUACGUACCCAAAAUUUGAGAUCAAGUCAACCGUAGUUCAAAAAAUUCCCGAAGGACAUAUCUUAACACAAUCGAAGGAUUUGAAUUAAUUUCAAGCAAUGUUGAAACUUAACUCCAGAAACUACCUUCGUCAACAUAUCUGAUGGAUUAUCUUUAAUAUCAAUCUUUCUCAACAACACAACACCGCUCUCGAUGAUCUCUCUCACAUAAUGAUAUUUCACAUCUAUGUGCUUCGUUCGAGCGUGAUAUGUUUGAUUCUUCGCAAGGAAUAUCGCACUUUGAUUAUCACAGAAGACCGCAAUGUUCUCCUGAAUUACUCCCAAAUCACCUAACAAGCCUUUCAACUAGAUAGCUUCUUUUACAGCUUCAGUUGCUGCCGUGUACUCUGCUUCUGUAGUGGACAAAGCAAUUGUCGAUUGUAGAAUUGACCUCCAGCUAACCGGACCUCCACCCAAUGUAAAUACGUAGCCCGUUGUUGAUCUUUACCUAUCAAGAUCUCCAGCGAAAUCAGAAUCACAAUACCCAACACAUUGUUGACCACAAUCCUUCUUGAACAAUAACCCAACAUCAACUAUCCCAUACAGAUAUCGGAGAAUCCACUUUACUGCAAGCCAGUGACUUUUACCCGGAUUGUGCAUGUAUCUACUAACCAUGCUUACUGCUUGAGAUAUAUCUAGCCUUGUACAUACCAUAGCAUACAUAAGACUACCCACAGCACUAGCAUAUGGAACACGAGCCAUGUAAUCGCGUUACUCUUGAGAUUUAGGACAUGAAGAAGAGCUUAAUUUGAAAUGAGGAGCUAGAGGUGUACAUACCGGUUUAGUUUUGUCAUCCAUACCGAAUCUUUCUAGCACUUUCUUCAAAUAAGACUUUUGAGUCAACCAUACACUCCCAUUCUUCUUGUCUCUACAAAUCUCCAUCCCAAGUAUUUUCUGUGCAUCACCCAAGUCUUUCAUCUCGAACUCAGAAGCCAGCUGCUUCUUUAAUCUUUCGAUCUCAUCUCUAUUCUUCGAAGCUAUAAGCAUAUCGUCGACAUAGAGUAGCAAAUAAAUGAAAGCUCCAUCUGGCAGUCUUCUAAAGUAAACACAAUGAUCGUGUUCACUUCUGGUGAAUUUCUGCCCUUGUAUAAAUUGAUCAAAUCUUUUGUACCACUGCCUUGGCGAUUGCUUCAGUCCGUACAAAGAUUUAAUCAACCUCCACACAUGAUUCUCCUUUCCAACAACUCUGAAACCACAAGGCUGAAUCAUAUAGAUUUCCUCCUCCAAAUCUCCAUGUAAGAACGUUGUCUUAACAUCUAACUGAGCCAACUCUAACUCAUACUCUGCAACUAAGGCAAGUAGGAUACGAAUGGAAGUAUGUUUUACAACUGGAGAGAAAACUUCAUUGUAGUCAAUACCUUCCUUUUGAGCAAAACCUUUUGCCACGAGCCUUGUCUUGUAUCGAGGAGUUGUUUGAUACGGAGAUCCUUGCUUUUUUGUGUAGACCCAUUUAUUGCCAAUAGCCCUUUUCCCCUUUGGUAACUUUACAAGUUCCCAAGUCUGAUUUUGAUGGAGAGAUUUCAUCUCUUCCUCCAUGGCUAGCUUCCACUGAUCACUUUCACUGCUGCGUAAUGCUUCACCGAAAGUGUUGGGGAUGUCAUCAUCAAUAACUGGAAGUGCAUAGGCUACCACCAUAUCUUUAGUAAGUCAUCCGGGUUUCUUUAUCUCUCUUCUUGGCCUCCUUGUUGCUAUAAAAUUAUCAUCAUCUACAUCAUCAAUUGUUUCUUCAUUUUGUGGGACAUCAAAAGAAACAACCUCUUCUUCAACUCUAGGUGUCACCUCCAUAGUUGAACUAUUCUUUGAUGUAGAACUAACUGGUACAUAUGGAGUUGCAUCAAACUCCACCCGCUGCAAUACCUCUGUGGUCUUGUUCUCCAUCUGCUGAGAACUUGAAGCUUUUAUCAUUGAAGCUUCAUCAAAUGUGACAUCUCUACUACACACAAACUUUUUGUCUUCGAGAUCCCAAAACUUGAAGCCCUUUACUCCACCUUUGAAUCCCAUAAAGAUAGCUUUUCUAGCACGAGGAUCCAGUUUACCAUUUUUGACAUGAUAAUAAGCUGGACACCCGAAUAUACGAAGAGAAUCAUAGUCUUGUGCAUGCUUUCCAGACCACAUUUUCAUAGGAGUUUUACCUCCAAUUGCAGCAGAAGGCAACCGGUUUACCAAGUGACUUGCGUAGCUCACAGCUUCAACCCAAAACUUUUUUUCUAAACCAGCAUUAGAUAACAUACACCGUACCUUCUCCAGUAAAGUACGAUUCAUACGCUCAGCCACACCGUUCUGUUGCGGAGUAUAUCUCAUCGUGAAAUGUCUUUUAAUACCCUCGUUCUGGCAUACUUGCAAGAACAGAUCAGAAGUAUAUUCACCCCCAUUAUCAGAUCGCAAUACUUUGAUCUUUCUGCCAGUUUGAGUCUCCACUAAUUUCUUCCAUUUCACGAAAAUCUCUAGAACUUCAUCCUUUGCUCGCAUGGUGUACACCCACACACGUCUAGAGAAAUCAUCAAUAAAUGUAGCAAAAUAAUGGCUUCCACCAAUUGAUGCAGUCUUGGUUGGUCCCCAUACAUCACUAUGAACAUAUUCAAGGAUCUCACGAGUAUCGUGAUUAGUUGUACCAAACUUGACCCUUGUUUUCUUGCCUACUACACAAUGCUCACAGAAAUUUAAUUUACAAGUUUUGGUACCUUUUAAGAGUCCAUGCCUCAUCAGAGUUUGCAAGGACUUCUCUCCUGCAUGUCCCAGUCGUACAUGCCAUAGCUUGGUGGUGUCAAUGUGCAUCUCAACAACAUUUGCUUCAUCAGUUGUAUCUCCCUUCAAAUAGUACAGAUUGUGAUGCCGAACCCCUUGCAGAAUCACCAUAGCCCCAUGUGUAAACUUCAUUGUGCCAUCUUCAAUGGUAACUUUGUAACCUUUAGCUUCCAAAGCACCCACAGAAAUUAGAUUUUUCUUCAUCUCUGUAACAAAUCUAACCUCUUUAAGUUCUCUGACCAUUCCAUCAAACAUUUUAAGCCGAAUUGUUCCUAUCUCUAUUGUGAGAUAAGGUUAAUCAUUCCCCAUCACAACUACACCGAAUUCUAGAUUACGAAAAUCUGUAAACCAUUCCUUAAUAGAACACAAAUGAUAGGUUGCUCCAGUAUCAAGUAUCCACUAGCUCGAACUAGCUACGUAUGCUACAGGAGUAAUACUUAGUGAAUAAUCAGAGCCCUCAUCUUUCCGUGCCAUGUUUGCUGCUGCUGGUUUCUUCCCAUCUCUCUUUUGAGCCUUUAGACAAUCUUUCCUCCAAUGGUCAUUUUCAUGACAAAAGGCACACUCAUCUCGAGCUAUAUUUCUGCUUCUCGAUUUGGAUCGAGAAUUCUUUCCACCACGCUUCUUCUGUUUCUCCAUCGCCCAAUCUCUGCUCACCAAAGCUUCAGACGAUGCUCGUUCAGAAUUUUUAUCAUUAUUCCGAAUCUCUAAGCUAGUCAAUGCUGUGCAAACAUCUUUAAAGACGAUCUCACUCUUCCCAUAUAUCAAAGUAGUCACAAAAUGGCUAUAUUCCUCUAGUAGUGAGUGUAACAGAAUCAUAGCCUUGACUUCAUCCUUAAUAUCUUCAUUAAGAUUCUUCAAAUCAGCAAGUAAAUUUUCAAAUCUUGAAAUAUGAUCGUGCAUUGACACCCUAGGCUUCAUUCGAAAACCAUAUACUUGGCUCAUUGCAUGAAGGCGAUUUUCAGGACUUUUCACCAGGUACUUCUCCUCCAAUGUACGCCACAAAGUCACCGCACACUCCUCAUCUUUCACCAAGUAUUUCACCUCCUUGGUCAAACAAGAUCUGAUCUGACCAUAUGUUUUUUCAUUCAUACGAUCAUAAAUUUCUUCAUUAUACAAGUGUCUUUUAUUUUUCAAAACAACAUCGAGAUCGAUUUGAAUAAGGGCAUCCAUAACUUCGUGCCUCCACAUGCCGAAGUUGAUUUUCCCAUCAAACUUUUCAACAUCGAUCUUCUGGCCUCCUACAACAGGUGCUGAAUAGCGAUUUGACAAAUCUCGCCUCCCACCUGAAGUGUCUCCUGAAAUAGUGUCGGUAGAUCUCUCCCUAAUUCUGGAAGUUUCACCUUCUACCAUUUUCUCAACGAACUAUUUCCACUUGAAAAACAGUCUCUAUGAUGUUAAUUUCGUGUGAAUAAAUGCACCAGGAAAGUUCCCAGGAAACUGGACGGGAACUCGAUCUUAAUUAAAAACUAGAAUCCUUAGACUCUUAUCGCCUUUUUUGACAGAACUUUCCUAGACAUGCAAAAAUACACACUACUUACAAUAGAUUGUCUCCCAAGUACAAAUGGCCGUCUCUACCGUAUUCAUGAAUAGUACCGUAUGUGAACAGUACCGUAUACGGGAAUAAUACCGUAUACGUGAACAGUACCAUAUCCCCCCAAGUACGAACCGUCGGCUCUGAUACCACUUGUUGUGAGUGAAAUGCGGAAUCAAGUGCACCAAAUAAUUACAGAAAAAUAAAGGACACAAGAAUUUACGUGGUUCGGUAAUUAAACCUACAUCCACGGAGGCAAGAAAGAAUAAUUGUUUAUUUAACAAUUAAUAUAGUACAAUAUUUGAGUAACGAAUCUCACUUCCCAGAAACCCAAAUAUACCCAGUACUCUCACACUCUACAAGAAAGAUAAAUUCCCCAGACACACUUCUCUCACUUCUCUUAAAAGCUUAGAAACUUAUAAGCUUAACAAUUUUGGGAUGAUUUCAAAUGAAUGAAAUCCUUAGCUAUUUAUAGGAGAAAUGAAUUACUAUGCUAAGAAUAAAAUAAUUAAAUUAUUAUUAUUUUUCAAAUCCAUCCCCCAUUCUUUCUUUUCAGCUUUACAAAAUCAACAAAUUGUUGGUGCAAUUUAUAGAAGAAAUGAAUUACUAUGCUAAGAAUAAAAUAAUUAAAAAUAUAAUUUUUAAUUAUUAUUAUUUUUCAAAUCCAUCCCCCAUUCUUUCUUUUCAGCUUUACAAAAUCAACAAAUUGUUGGUGCACCAACAAUUUGUUGACUUCAACAAAUUUGCACCAACAAUUUGUUGACUUCAACAAGAACUUGGUUUAUUCGACAUUUAAGAUUCUUGGCAAAGCUGCAUGGAGUGAAUUUUGGGAGCUUGAGAGUGAAAGAAGUUAGAGAAUGUAUUAGGAUUUGGGUUUAUUAGGAAGUUAUGUAUUUCAUUAUCAGUUUUUUUUUCUUUUGUAAAAAGUAAGGGUGGGCCAAAUCCAAAUAGUUUUUAUUUUCCUCUUCUCUCCCUUGAGGCUCGAACCGGGGUGGUAAUUAGCAGAGAAGUAUACGUGCCAAAAAUCUAACACAUGAAAAAAUACACAAUGAAAUUAUCUACAAUUUUCCAUUGACUUAGUCAACUCUUCAUUGAUUUCAUUGACUUGGUCAACUUAUAAUCUAACUUAACAACUUGAAAAUUAAAUUAUGCUAGUAAUUCUGUAAAAUUAAAAUUUAUCUCCACCAAAUGGUUGUGGCUCAGUUGGCGAUGCAUCUUGUUCAAACAUGCACUGAACAACGUUAUGUCUUCGUUAUCAUUUCAGAAGGAAACAAAUCAAAUGCAGCAAUUGAUGUAGGAGUUGCUGUUGGCGCUGCUAUAUUUUUUACGGACUCUCAUACCAUGGAAAAACUCAGCUUUAAAGAAUGGUAUGAUGCUUUGAUAUAUGAAGUAAUUGGUAUAUAUUUUGUACCUUCCAUACAUUUUGCUUUGUUAAUGUUAUUAUUUGAUAACAUGUUUGUCGAGUUGCACAGUGUCUAGAAUUUUGAGAUUAAGAAGAGUCUAAAUGCUAUACAAAUACACUCCUUUCAUUUUAUACAACUUUGAUUGAUCAAGUUGUAUCUCUUUGAUAAUAUGUUCUAUAUCCUUUCAUUUUAAACUUCAAUAGAGUUGCUAUCUAUUUAACUUUGGCAAGUCAGAGAGAGGACUGUCCAAUUAAAAUUAAGUUCCAAGUGCCAAUCCCACCAUUGUCGGCUCAUGUUUGCCAAAUUCAAAUUUGAAAAUCUCACCAAGUUAGUAUGAUGAUGUUGUGGGAUUGUCUCGCCUAAGUUUUUAGCCUCAUGACCUCCUUUAUUAGAAAAAGUCUUAAGUGUUCUUACUCAAUUAUAGAAUCAUAAUUUUACUUCAAUAGAAGCCAUAAUUAUUAAAAUAUAUUCUUUGGAUUAAUUACUUAUUUGAUGUUGCUCUCUCUACCUUCAUCUCCUUCUUUAUGAAAAAUUUAUUGUAAUACAUGGGAGUAUAUAUUGCAUUGAAUAAAAUGAAAUUCUUCAAAAAUUAACAAAUUCAGCUUUAUUAUAAUCUAAAACAAAGUAAAUAGAAUAAUACCCAUCAUGUAAAAAUAAAAAAUAAAAUUUUUUAUACCACUUGGAAUUUAUUUUAAAUGUUUUGGUCAAAUCUAAGAAGCCCAAACUUUGAACAAUGAUAAUAAGUAAAAACUAAUAAUCUUAUAAUAAAAAGUAAGAAAAAAAUAAAGUUGAUUUAGCAGCUAAGAAUAAAAAAAGAAAAAUAGAAAGAGAGAGAAAUUAGUUUAGGCUUUAACCAUGGUUAUAGUAGAGAAAAAAAAUUAAUUAAGAGUAAUUUUAUGACUUUUUAGAAAUGAGUGAAUUAAAAUAAUAAAUUAUAAUUUGAUAAUUAUCUUAAUUAAAAAAUGGGUGUUGAAAUAAAAUUAGUGAAUUUAAAUAGCCCGCCCAAAAUCCAAACUCACAUACCAAUAAUUUUCUAAUUUACAUAAAAUUUUUCUAUAUGUUUGAUAAAAUUUGAUUCGCAAUUGGUCUAAUGGAGAAACAACCAGCAAAAAAAUAAAAUGAAUGCAAUUACAUGGAAAUUUGAAAAGAGCAGUAGAUGACAUUUAUGUGCAAGCAAAAUGCAAAAUUGCAUUCUGUUUGUGGGAUCCUGGAAAAAAUAAAAGAAAGAAAACAGAGUAAGACGCUGAGACUGGGGGCUUUAAUAUUUUUCUAGAUGCUUCCAUGGCAGAUUCUCGUUGGUUCAUUUUUCUUUACGCCUUAGAUUCUAAUCAUUCUAUGAUUCAAUUUCAAUCAAAUACGACAAACAAAAGAAGCUUUUAAGCCUGCAGCUGAAAUAGAUGGCACUUUAAUUUUCAGCUGAGAAUCAAAUGAAAUAGAUGGUAAGAUUAUUAUUAUUGAGCUUGAUAACUGAUAAGGCUAUAGAAAAUUCAAUAUCCAGAUCGGAUAAGGAUCCAAUAAAUUAUAAAAUAUUGCGGCUCAAAGCCCAUAUGAUCAUGGGCCACCACUUGCUCAUGCUUUGAACCAAAAUUUUCUAAUGAAGUGAGGUUGGAAGCUAAAAGGGGCAAGUAAUGAAAUGGGGUUCAUCAUAUAUUGAGCCCAACGGGACAAGAUCAUCAUUUAAUUCCCUCCUCUUGUCGAUAGAUAUUUGCCGAAUUUUUUCAUUUAAAAAAUAUUAUAUUGGUUAAUAGAAUUUGAAGUUUUACAAAAUAUAAGUUUAAUUUUAAAAAAUUAUAUUUUCUAAUUUAAAAUUUUCAUUUGGUGGUUGUGUUUGAAAAAAUUUUUAGGUAUACUCGGACAUACUCUCUUAUUAUUCAUUGAAUUUGGGCAUUUAAACAUAUUAGUAUGCAGUAUUUUUAGGUAAUUAGCAGAGAAGUAUACGUGACAAAAAUAUAACAUGUGAAACAAUACACAAUGAAAUUAUCUACAAUUUUCCAUUGACUUAGUCAACUCUUCAUUAAUUUCAUUGACUUGAUCAACUCAUGAUCUAACUUGACAACUUAAAAAUUAAAUUAUGCUAGUAAUUCCGUAAAAUUAAAAUUUAUCUCUCAAAAUUGAUAAAUAUUGUGUCACUUUGUCAAAUUACUUAGGGUAAAAGCUCUGUGGCUAAAACCUUUUAAGAUUAGAUGUAUGCUAAUUGAGAAGGACAAGACACAAAACACAAAAGAAUCAAUGAAUGCCACAUCAUGUAACACUAACACUACUUACUCUUAACAAAUUCUUACAAACGUGAUUCAUGAAAUUAACUUGACCUUUUGUCUAAAAAAGGCCUAAAGAAACAUGCCAAGCAACAAAUAAAGUAGUCCAAACGUGAUUCAUGAAACUUGAUAGGCACUAUCUAAAUAGUAUUAAUAUGGCAACCAAAAACAUGCGCACAAAGUAGACUUUCUUGGACGAUCCAUGCCAAUCAGCAAAUAAAGUAGUCCAAACGUGAUUCGUGAAACUUGACUUCUUGUCUAAAAAGGCCUAAAGAAACAAGACCAAAAGUUCCAUGCAAUAGCAAUAUGGUGGCCACAAUGCACUUUUUAAGCCAUUUUUCAAAACUAAGUUUCUUCGUUUCACAUGCACUAUUCAAGCAAUUUAACAUUUUCUCCUUCCCCUGAAAGCUAUUGGAGAAAAAUUAGUUUCUUAAAUUUUAAUAAAAACUUUUAGAACCGAUCUCAUACAAUAGAUAAGAAUUCUUACUCUGGAAAUCAUACCUUGAAAAUCUGAGAAGAUGUACAAUCUUUGUUUUUUUUCCGUUGAACUGAUUUAGGCUCCCAGAUCACGAUUUGUCACCACCACACCUGUUAGAUCAUGAUCCGUCACCACCACGCCUGUUAGAUCACGAUCUGUCACCACCAUGCUUGUUAAAUCACGAUUUGUCACUAAAGAUCUUCCAAGUUAUGACUCAGAUUUGAUCUGCACUUGACGUGUGGGCACCUUUAUCACUACUAAAGCAACUAGCAAGAGAAAAUUUUUCUCUCAAAAUUAAAGAGAAAAAUUCUUUUUCUCUAAAUUGUAUAAUACGACUCUAUCUUUUUUCUUUAAAGAAAAUAAGUCUUUUUAUAUCUCCCUUUAGUGAAAACGCUACGCUCCAAAUAAUAAAAACCAAAAGUCAUUUUACUUGCUUUUUCUAUAGGGGGCCCACCUUAUUAAAUAACAUAAGGUCCCUUACACACAAGCAUAUUAAAUGGAGCCUCCCACUAAAUGAUAUAUUUAGAUUUUUUACCCAAAUAGCUAGUUAUCUUGCUUAUUAAUUUAGUAGUGGUGCAGUCAAUUAAAUGAGCUAACAUGUGGAUCAUUUGGAAACAUAUAAUAGUGGCUACAAUAAUUAGGCUUGUAAUUAAACUAACCCAAUCAUUUAAUUCUAAAUCUACUCCACUAAAAGAUUGGAACUGACCUCCAUAAUUGUAUACUCGAAUAAUAAUUCGUCCCAAACCACAUUGAUUUUUUUACUGCAUAAUCCUUUGUACCACAUCGUUAAUUAAAUCAAUAUCUCAAUUGUCCAAUCAAUUUAAUUAUAUCUUGUUCUUUGAUACUUACUAGUUUUCUCUAAUGAUCAUUUUCAGCAUACUAAAUAUGUUGACACACUCUGGCCAGAGAAUUUUAUGAUCAAGUGCCGAAAACCCAUUAAGAGAUGUAUUGUACAAAUUCUAUAUUGUUAAUCUAUAACUCCAAUACUCAUAAUUGCUCCCACCAAGAUACCGGGUAAUCUUGACUACAAGUGUGUGUCGUGCCCAUUGGUAACUGAAAUAAAAAUCAAUUACAAUCAUGAAAUUAUAACUAACUCAAGAUUAAAAUUAUAGUAAAAUCAAUGCCUAUGAGAUUUAAUAAGUCUGACAGUCAUUUCAAGGUUAAUUAAAUCUUAUAUGUGAUCCAAUUCAAUGUAGUCAAACUACAUCAGUAAAUUCAUGCAUGAUUAAGACAAAUCAUUCAAUGAAUUUACUACAGUCUAAACAUAAAUAGAACACUCAACUAUAUUUAUUAACUGCAAACUUAAUUUAUUUAAUUAUAAGAUAACUUGUAUUUAUGUCUUCUGUGAAUCCAUAUAAUAAUCACAUAAAUACAUAUAAUAUGAUUAAACAGAUCUUAUUCAAUAUAUUUAUGCAAUUGAAAAUAUCUCAAAUAUUUUAUUAAUCAGAAAAUUAAUUUACUUUAAAAGAUCACAUAAUCCCAACAAAAUUAAAUUGAUACUCAGCAAGACCACGUCACAAUGCAUCACUUUUGGAAAGUAAUUUAGCAAUUUCCAAUGCCUUAGCUGAUUAAUGGCUUGACCAUGUGACGAUUGGUCCACAUUAUGCACAUAGCAAGAUCAAAGAAAAUAUCACAGCUAGCUCGACGACUACUAGCCAAAAUAAGAAGACAAUGACGGCCAGUUACAAACUCUUUACGAAGGAAAUAUGAAUAUCCCUCCUAAUCACUUUCUUAUAUUAUCAUUAUUUUGUACAUAUAACAGAACACGUUCUCUCUUGUAAAGAAGUCAAGAAAACGGUUUUAGUUUUCAUAUCAAUAAUGGAAUCCAAAAUCUUUCACAGCUUGCUUCUCCUUUGGACGCUUGAAAGACUUUCUUACCUGGCUAAAACUGUGAAAAUUGUUCAAACUAAUUUGAUUGAAAACUUUCUGACACUAUAAUGUAUUAUGUAUAUGAAGGCUACAUUAAAAUGUGGAAUAAAAAUGAGUGCUUAUAUUAAAAAACAAUCAGUCUCAUUGCGUCCUCUUUCAUUGACAUAGGUAAUUUGCGGUCAACUCGUGGCACUCUUAUUGACACGCAAAGAACUUACAUGAGGAGUUGUUUGAUUUUAUGUUUCAAAUUAAGUACCAUAGCAUUACUACUUCUAUAAAUAACUCAUUUGAGCUUCGAGCCUGUUAUUUGUAUUUUACGUUUUUGUUUCUCUUCAUAAAGAUUUUUUUUUUCCAUUCUCUUUUUCUUCCACUUUCUCGACUCCCAAACACCACCAGUCUUUGAUUUUCCUAGAGUAUUAACUGUCCGUUUACACGAACAUAGACCGACUGUUUGUCUAAUUACUGUCAAGAAACAGCAUACUCUGUCUCGGGGUCUCUUCGUUUAUUGACUUCUCACUUGUGAACGGGCUUAUUAAAGGGCGUUCCUUCCUUCAAGAAAGAAUGCCAAGAAAGUACCAUCCAUUAGACACGUUAAGAAUUAUUUUACAUUAAAAAUGAUAAUAAUCAUAAUAAUCGGUUUAGUGCUACCCCGUUAUUAGGUCAUGAGUGUCCGAUUGUCUUCGCUUUCAUUGACUUCGCAACUGUGAAUUCUAAGCCGAGUUAAGGAUUGACAAAAUGUUAUAACCCAUAAAGCACGGAUAAUUAAUUAAUGGGCCACUGAUUUCUUCUUUAAAGGCUAAUUCUUGGGAAAGAUCAGAAAGUUCUCAAAUAAAAAUUCGGCUUUGUGGAAAUUAAAUUAAAAGCAAUUAAGCAUUAUAAAUUACUUAACAGCUUAAUCGAGUUUGGUUUUGAAAAAUAUAUCUUUAGAUCUCUUGUAAUUAAAGAUAAUUAUCAUAUUACCGUCUCAAAUGGACCGAUUUCAAUCAAAUGAAAUCUAGAAAAUUGAGCAGCUCAUUGAUGUAUUUGGUCGAACUUGUGUCAGAGUCUUCGUUUUAGAAGAGUGCACAGCAGCUGCCAGGUCCACUUGGCAGUUGGCACGCCAAAAAUUUUCUGUUGACCAAUAAUUUUGAAAGGGAUAUUAUUAAUUUACUAUCAAAUAUUUUCGAACACAUCACUUUACUAUCAAAAUUUUUUGACAAUAAUUUUUUGUCACUUAAUAUUUCAAUUUUUAUCAUUUUAUCAUCAAAAAAUAGUAAAUGCAUGCUUAGUGUAAGUUAUCCAUAAAAAUGGUUGUUGAAUUGUCUUGUUUCUCAUUUGGUUUAAUUUUCAUAAAUUCGACUCACACAAUUCAAUUAUGUGUGAAGAGUUUUUUUUGGGAAAAAUCUGGUCUUCCAUUUACUAGAAUCAGGUCUGAAUGAUUUUAUUAUUUUUCUUUUGUUUGAAAUAUACGUGGAAAAUGUUGAACACUUUGUAGGAUUUAGAAGAAUUUGAAAGUUUGAAUGCAUAUAGUUUACUAUCCAUCAGAUAAUGCAUAUUCUGUAUUUUAUGAAAUCAAAGCUGGUUGAUUGAGAAAUGGACCUUAUUACAUGUCAUAAGAUUUUACAGUGCUUUCUAAUGGAGCAAAAUAAAAUGAUUCUUACCUGGACAGAAAAUUAGAAACGAAAAGGAGGGUUACUGAUCCACAGAGUUGUUAUUUACGAGAAGCACAUAGAUAUUGCACUUAAUUUAUUAUCCAUCUGUAUUGUUUAGAUGACACUGAAGUAUUACCUAAAUUAGCCUUUCAAAACUUCAUUUUCAAAAAUCUAUGGUUGUGAUGCGUCUCUAUAAACUCACUCGUACAAAUUCUAUCUUUUAGUAUUUUUGUGUAUUUUUGUGCACGUACAAGUAGCAUUACAUGUCAUUAGCAAUUAGUCUAGAGUGUUCUGAUUUUUUCUAAUAAGUAGCAUUACAUGUCAUAAGAUUUUUUCUGAUUUUUUUUCACAUAUUCAAUUUCUCUUCCAUUUUCCCGACUCCCAAACACCACCUAUCCUCGGUUUUCUAGAGUAUCAGCUAUCUCUAUCUACAAACACAAAACUGCUAUUUACUUUCAAGAAACAACGUAUUCUGUGGCUUAUUGACGCGCACGGGGCUAAUUGUCUCCUCUUUCAUUGACUCUGUCAAUUCAUGACUUUGACGCGCACGGUAGCUGCUAACUGCCUUCGCCAUUGGACGUGCAAAACACUUUCUUGAGUCGGGUUAAAAUUAAUUGAUCAUUUUAUUUGGUGAUAAUGACUUAGUUGUCAAGUCAUGAGUUUGAUGAUGAGGAGGACGAAAAAUAUUAUUUUAUUAUUUAAAGUAAGACUAUCAAUUAUUUCCAGAGUGCUGAUAGAUGCCCCGGGUCAAACCCCGGGUCAAGCCCCGAAUCUUUAAUAAAACGACGCCGUUUUGUUAAUUUUUUGGGUCGUUUCAAUUUUUUUUUGAAACAACGUCGUUUUGCUUGAGCAUUCUAGCUCUGUAUCAAACUCAUCUUUCUCUUGUAAUAAAGAAACAGAAAAAACUCAUCUUUCUCUUUCGAUUUUUCACUUCACCACAUAACCCAACUACAUAACCCCAACUGCAAAAUCCCUCAAGCUGUUAUCUUCCUUCUGCAUAAACGAUCUUUCUCUUUCAGUCUUGUUAUGCCAAAACACUAGAAAGAAAUAUCAUGUACCUGCAGAAUUGAAUAAAUAAUUGAACAAGGGAGGCUGGCAGAUUUAGUUAAAGCGUGAUGUCCAAAGUGACAGUUCCACAUAUGGCAAACUUCCCAAAGGAUUGCUAGUUCCAUCCCAUUAUAAUUUGAAAACAAUGAUUAUGUAGUUGAAAACAGAUUUAGUUUUUAUAUAAUAUGUUGAGUCGAAAAUUGCAAUUUAUUACUUACAAUUACUAAUCUCUGUCACUGGUGGCAGUGGUGAUGGUAGUGGCGGUGGUUGGCUGUCGGUGGUGGUUGUUUCAGUGGCUGCGUACGCAUGGAUUCUGGAUUCUGGAUGGUGGAUUGAGGACUUUGAAUGGCUGUGCUGCACUUAAUCGAUAAAGAAAAGGGGCUUGGCAAAACGGUGUGUUUCAUUUUCGGGGUCUGACCUGGGAUUUGACCCGAGACAAACAUCAUUUUCCUUAUUUCCAUGGUCAUCUUAUUUUCUAAAAUAACUAAAUGGAAUCUUACAGAAUUAGAGUGCUUGACUUCUUCAUACAGUGCUUGACUUCUUUUUACAGAAUUAUAAAGUGAAAAAAGAAAUUAAGAAAUUAAAUACUUUUCAUGCGAGUGGAGAAGAUUGGGUAGCGAUUACAUUAAAUAAAUAAUAAUAAUUUAAAAGUACAGCACUUUAAUAAUCUGAUUCCCAAUCAUAUCGGUAUAAAAAAUUCUGUAGAUUUAUUGAAUAACUAUUGAUUUUACUUUUGUAAUUUCUUUCUAAAAGUAAGGUAAACAUUUUUAUUUUCUUUGCAUUCGAGCUUUCUUUCUUUUGCGCUGGCCUUCACACUCUUGACCGUAUUUCAUGGGGCACAUUCAAUCUCAAUCUUCUGCAAGUUUGUGGCAGUUUUUUUAAUUACGAACUUUUGUAGGAUUUUAUGGAGAUGAUACUUUUAUAUACAUUUUUCUUUUCUUUUUUUCUUCCGUGAACAAAUUAAAAAUUUAUUUUUUGUCAUCAUGACUAGUGAAGUAGUAGAAUUGAAUUACUUAUAAUUAAAAGAACUAAAAACAACUAAAAUUGGAAAUAACACUAAUUUUAUUAAUGAAAAUAAUUAUACAAAAUAUUAAAAACAUACCUGGAAAUCAAGAUUACAAGGAGAUGGAGAGAAUUUGAGAAGAAGAGAGUUGUAGAGAGAUGAUUAAAAUAUAAAAAUGAGGCUCUAUUUAUAGAAAAAUAAACUCAUAAUCCAGUGCUUUGCAGUCCAUCAUAGGCUUCAUGCAUGUGCUCCUCACAACCCUUAGAUCAAGAUCCAAUGGCUGGUCAAACUUCAAAAGUCAACAUCACACAUGGCAUCAUUUGACUCGUCCGAUUUGCCCAAAGAACGGUUGAGAUUUGGCGGGUUAAUGGGUGGAUCGGGUCGACCCGAAUACAAAGAUUCGGAUCCUCCAACUUGCUUCACCAACCAUUGCCACGUGGCACAAUCAUAGCCAUUGAAUCAUGAACAGUUGAGAUUUAGUCAAGAUUGUCAGUUAUCCCAUGCACUCAUAUCUAUUGUAAGCUCAUUUCAUCAUCCAAUCAGUGCUCGGUCAACAGGAAAAGUCAACUUUUUUUACGCAAGCCUAAUUUUAAGCCGAUCUUGACUGAUCUUAAGGUUUUCGGACCUCCGGAAUCCAAAUUUGACCUCCGUUUAUCUGUUUGGAGCCUCGAAGUACGUGAAAUUAAUAUUUUUCCUAAUAAACACAUAAAAAUACACAAAAUUAAAUAUAUUUAAAACAUAAUUAAUAAUUCAUAAUAUAUUACAUAAACACAAAUAUAAAUUAUAACAUAAGCAUAAAAUAACAUAUUAUCGCUUGAUAAUUAAACAAUUUUUAAUACUAAUCAACUCCAAAAGACACGUUAAUUUAGAGUCUUCAAAUAAGAUUUAUUUCCCACUCUUCAAUAUUGCCGAGUGAGUUUCUCACUCUUCUGUUAAUAUUUUAUUAUUAUUUAUUGAAAAGAUAAGACUGCAAUAAUUAUUAUUUAUGUUUCCUUUAAAAAACAUAACAGCAAUUCAAUUUGAUAGUAGGAAAGAUUUAAUUAAAAUAAUAUUAACUUAUUCUUAUUUGAUGAGUCUUUGGGAGGAGAUUAUAUUUUUCUAUACACUUAUUUGCCACAUCAGUAAGCAAAUUAAAAUUUGAAGAAUAAAAUCUUAAAAGUCUUUUGGAGAUGCUCUUAGUAGGCCGUUACAGAUGCCAUACUAGCAAGCGUGCUAUGACUGAUUGCUAUUUGCACGUAAAAUUUGCCCAAAACAAAUAGAAUGAGAAUACUUGUACGAAAGGACAAGAUUAAUAAAGUGAAUAAAUUUUACCUUUUAGUGAAUGCUUCUUGUCUUUUAGAGUUUUAGUGCAUUUUCGUGUGUAAUUUUAUGUGCAAAUAGCAUUACUCAUUAGUAAUUAGUCUAGAGUGUUCUAAUUUCUUCUAAUAAGUAGCUGAUUUGAGCUUAAGACUUGUAUUUUAAGUUUUUACUACUUUCUAAUAAAGAUUUUCUCUGUUCUUUUUUACUUUCACUUUCUCUUCCAUUUUCCCGACUCCCAAACACCACCAAUCCUUGAUUUUCUAGAGUACGGCUAUGCAGUUCUACAAACACGAAACUGCUGUUGGUCCAAUUACUUUCAAGAAACAACGUACUCUGUGGUUUAUUGACUUGUGACAUGGGCAAAUUAGUCACGGUCCGAUUCUCUCCUCUUCCACUGACUCUGUCAAUUCAUGACUUUGGCACACAGUAGAAGCCAGCUGCCUGCUCCAUUUGACGUGCAAAAAACUUUCUUGAGUCGGGCUAAAAUCGAUUAAUUAUUUUGUUUGGUGAUGAUGAGUUAGUUGUCAAUUCAUGAGUUUGAUGCAGUGAAACACUUAACGCUCUCUUGUGAUGAGUAGGAGAAAAGCCAGCGAUGAUGAAGAGGACUAAAAACAUUAUUUUGUUAUUUACAAUAAGGCUAUCAAUUAUAUAUUCCAAAAUAAUUGGGUUUGGAUGGUCAUUUUGUUUUCUAAAAUAUCCAAAUGGAAACAGAAUUUAUAAAGUGGGAAAAUCAAGAAAUUAAAUACUCUUCAUAUAGUGGAAGGAGAUUUGGUUGCCGUUAUACUAAAUAAAAGAAAAAUAAAGUAAAAUAACAAUACUUUAAUAAUCUCAUUCCCAAUCGUACCGGAAAUAAAAUUUUCUGUAUAUUUAUGAAAUAAUUACUGAUUGGUGCAAGAGAUUGGUGGGACUCAUUUGAUUCAAGAAAAACAAUCAGUCUCAUUUGAUACGCAAAGAGCUUUUCUACUCUGUAGCCAAUAUUUUGAUGAAUGUGACGUUACUGGUUUGUAUAAUUUGUUGGAUAUUAUCUCAAUUUUACUUCUGUAGGUUUGUGGUUUGUAUAUUAUCUCAAUUUUUAAAAAAAUGUAAUUGCAAUUAUCAAACACGACUAAUCCCAACAAUUUAUCCAAAAAAUUUUGUUUCAAGAAAUGUAGCAUUUAUGAUAGAAUGGCUAAUUUUUUCAAUCGACUUUCUGGACAAAUGAUAAUUUUUUGAUAGAAAUAUUACUUACUUAUUACAGGAAGAAAAUUAUAGAAUAAUUUUUUGAAUUAAUAGUAUUACUUUACGAUAACACUAUCACAAUAUAAUUUUUUUUAAAAAAUAAAGUUAUUCUUUAAAUUUCGCACUACUAUUCCUACUUUUCUUGUUAUACUACUUAAUGGCACUGGUGAAGCCUCGAAUUAUCAAACAAAAGGCAAAAAUAGUUCAAUAUCUGCUGUCCCACUGAGCAUUGUUAAAUUCAUACGAUAAAAUGAGUACUUAUAUUAAAAAAACAAUCGGUCUCAUUACGUGCUCUUUCAUUGACAUAGGCAAGUUGCGGUCAACUUAUGGCACUUUUAUGAAUUUUCAAGACUGGUGAAUUUUUCAAAUUUCAAAGAAAAAAAUACAGAAAUGUAAUUUCAAUUUAUCCAAAAAUUUGAGUUUCACGGAAUAUAGCAUUUGUUAUAUGUCAUGUUAACAUAGAGAAGAAAAUUUUAAAAACUUCUUUUUGGAUGAAUAAAAGUAUUUUCUGAUAAAUAUUUCGCAAUCAUAUUUAAAAAAUUUCACUCCUCUUGGUACAUAAUUUAAGAAUUUAACAUUAUAAAUUAAUCUUUUUAACCAAAGUAAUAAUCUCUCCUCGGGUCUGCAAAUGCUAAAAUUUAAUAUUAUAUCUGUUGAUGAUAUUUGCUCCAAAUUCACGAAAAUAAAAUUUCGAACAGAAUUAUGAAAUUCGUUACUAGAAAUUUGUAUAAAAGUUGUGAGAAUAGAAGGUUUGAUCAUAGGAAAUUAAUAUAUCCUUAUCCGAUGCAAAAAUGAUUGUAAAGAAAAACAAAAGUCACGGGCUUAUUUAGAAGAAAAGAAAAAAUUACAUUCCAUUUUCCAGUUAUUAAAGUAAUUCUAAAAUCGCUAGGAUCACAAAGGAUAGGCUUUCGUUGACUGAGGUCAGCCUUAACGCAUGCCGGUCUUUUUCUCCUCUACAUUCUUAAAAAUUUUGGUUUCACUAUAAAUACUCGGUAUAUAGCAAACUUAUAAGUGUUCUUGCAUUACCAAUCCAACUAAGCACACGCUUACAAUAUAAAUACUCUCAUCUCAUGGAAAGAGUUCAUUCUCUCAGGAUGAUGAGCAGAUUUCUCUUACUCCAUUGUUUGAUUCUUAUUUCCUUAUUUAUCGCGGCAGCAGCAGCCAACACAAGUUCUACUAUCACAGACCGAGAUGGUUUGUUAGCCCUGAAAGCUCACAUAACUCAUGAUCCGACCAAUUUCUUGGCUAAGAAUUGGAACACAAGUACUCCUGUCUGUAAUUGGACAGGUGUCGCUUGUGAUGUCCAUAGCCAUAGAGUCACAGUCUUGAAUAUUUCAAGCUUAAAUCUCACAGGCACCAUCCCUUCUCAACUUGGGAAUCUUUCUUCUCUGCAAUCACUCAAUCUCAGUUUUAAUCGACUUUCUGGUUCCAUUCCCUCCGCCAUCUUCACCAUGUAUACACUGAAAAAUGUUAGCUUCCAUGAAAAUCAGCUCUCUGGGCAAAUUCCUGCAAAUAUUUGCAGUAGUCUUCCUUUUCUUGAAUUUUUUUCUUUGUCCAAAAACAUGUUCCAUGGCGGAAUACCGUCCACUCUAUCAAAUUGCACAUAUUUAAGAAUCUUAAGUCUGGCAUACAAUGAUUUCUCGGGAGCCGUACCUAGAGAAAUCGGUAAUUCGACCAAACUUAAGAUAUUAUAUCUUGGCCGUAACAGACUCCAAGGUGCGCAUGAUCACGAAGUUUAAUUAUGAAAAUUGUUGCAUAAGUUGUAGUAUGAAUAAUGUUCCAUAAUACAGUUUACACACGUUGAUUAAUUUGCAGGAGAAAUUCCUCGAGAGUUUUGCAAUCUUACGGAAUUGGAGCAGAUGUCGUUGGCAGGCAACAAUCUCCAUGGCAUGAUUUUAAACUUUUUGCUAUUUUAUUUUAGCUAUGCUUGCUUCUGUAUUCAUUCGCUUGUUCUUUGAUUAUGCGAUGGUUUAUUGUUUUUCUUUCAGAUAGAGAUAAAGCUCCAUGUCUCCCCUCACUCAUUUCAUUCUUUAAAUUAUGCAGAUAAAAAAAAAAGAAUGUUCUGUAAUUUUCUUUUGUCAUAUUACCACUUCCAUUUUGAAGCUUCCAAUUAAGUCGAUGAAAAUAAAUGAUGUUUCAUUCUUAUUCUUGUCAGCCUAAUUCUUAUAUAAUUGAAGAGUAAAUUGUUAUUACGAUAUUCGUCGGCCAAUAAAUUCUUCUUUUUUUCCCCCAAAUAUGAGUGAUCAAAUUGUUUGCGCAUAUAUAAAUGUACUUAAUUUGCAGGAGGUAUUCCACGGGAAUUGGGGAAUCUUACAAAAUUGGAGAGGUUACAACUGUUCGAGAAUAACUUGACCGGUAACUUUCUUUACAAUAUAUGUACGAGACAUCUUCCGCUUUUUAUUAGAAAUUAUAAAUUCAAGUUAAAUCUUAAUUAAAAGAUUUCAAGUCUCUCAUUACAUAUUCUCACAUGAGGAUGUGUCGUUACCAUUAUCUAACAUUAUUCCGUUUUUUAUUAGAAAUUAGUUUGUGUUAAUUCGUGGAAUAAAUCGUCAAUCUUUCUUCUUUACUGAAUUUGGAUUUCUCAAAAAUUAUCUCAACAAGUAUGCCUCACUAAUGAUAUGCAUGUGUGACAACUUCAUAAAAUAUUUUACAUGAAAUCACUAAUUAUCUUUAAAUAAUCAGAUAUGCCAUCACUGAUACAUAAUGUCUUAACAAGCAUCAUACCAAAAGAAAUCAACAAUUUUAUUAAUCUUAAAGAGUUACAUCUUCACUGCAAUUAUAACAUAAAUUUUUAGUCAUAUCGCAUAAUAUUUUAUCUUAACGGAUGAUGUUCAGUCUUUGAAAAUAAGAAAUUGUUCAUGUGCUAAAAAGUUAACUUAGUAUUUAAAGUUUUCCAAUUGAAAAUUUUGAAAAAAGCGUUGAGAACUGGCGCUCCAUAGUAUUUCAGCGGAUAAAUAUGAAAAAUAGGCUAGAAGAAAUUAUUUUACUGAAAUAAGAGUUAAAAAGAGAGGAGAAGUACAGUAUUCAUGACUUCGGCUUUUUGUGUGUGCUUAUUCUACUUGGGCUUUGGGCUUGAUUACGCCCGUUAUAAUAAUAGGCUUUUACUUUCACCACCCAAUUAGGUUAUAGCAAUUUAUAUAUAAAUAACUAAAGCAUGCUUAAUGUCACGGGACGAGAGGUUUCGAACCCGUGCGGCACUCUCGCAUCCCAUACUACGAGAGUAAGCCUAGUGGAAAUGGCACAAUGUCGACUGGUUUCGCCCUGCCUUGGGUUCAUCAGGAGAACGGCUUCAGUUCCCAACCAGUGUGCGUCAGGAUUUUCUUAGACCCCUCUUCAGCAUUAAGUCCUCGACUAGCGACAAGCUCCCCAAACUCAACCGGGUCGGCCUGCCUGAACUCCAAAGAGUCUAGGGCAUUGUAUUCCCCACACACACAUUCCUGAAGCACAUCUCCAACAAUCAGCACAACCAUCAUCGACACUAGCGUACAAGCGCAUAUCUUGGGUGCCACGAUUGCGGUCCGUGACAUUAAGCUAGCAUUGAUGUACGGAUGAGUGGCGUCAAAAGUGUAUCUGUUUUUAUGUAUUAUUUAUUCUCUAAAACAUAUCUAAAUACAAUUCUUUCAAAAUACCGACGAAAUAGCACAUGAAAUCGGAAAUAUUUUAUUGCGAUGAGAAUUCGUAUAUUCAUUGUAGUAGAACAUAUAAAAUAGAGUAUAAAUUUAUUAUUCUUUGAAACAAACCUGAUUAUAAUUCCUUCAAAAUUAAGUUUGUCAUUAAAUGAUUUCUCAGGAGCCCUACCAAAAGAAAUCGGGAAUUUGACCAAACUCAAGCAUUUAUCUCUUGACCAUAACAGGCUCCAAGGUGCGCAUGAUUACAGAGUUUAAUUAUGAAAAUUGUUGCAUAAGUUGUAGUAUGAAUAAUGUUCCAUAAUACAGUUUACACACGAUGAUUAAUUUGCAGGCGAAAUUCCUCGAGAGUUUGGCAAUCUUGCCGAAUUGGAGCUGUUGUCGUUAUAUGAAAACAAACUCCAAGGUAUGAUUUUAAACUUUUUGCAAUUCUUAUAUUGUUGAAGAAUUAAUUGUUAUUAUGACAUUUUGAGAUUAAUUGUCAUAGGAGGAUGUGUUGUUAUUACUAUUUAACAUUAUCUCGUUUUUUAUUAGAAAUUAGUCUGUGUUUAUGCAAAAAAAUUUAGCUUCUAAAAAAAGUAUAAAAACACAUGGAAUAAAUCGAAAAUCUUUCUUCAUUACUGAAUUUGGAUUUCUCAAAAACUACCAUGAUAGUUAUGUUAGUGUCUUACUAAUGAUAUGCAUGUGUGACAGCUUCAUAAAUUAUUUUACAUGGAAAAUAUGAAAAAUAGACUUGAAAAAAAAUUAUUUUACUGAAAUAAUAGUUAAAAAGAGUGGAGAAAUACAAUACUCAUGACUUAGGCUUGCUGUGUACUUAUUUUGCUUGGGCUUCGGGCUUGAUUACACACGGUUGAACACUUACAUCCCCCGACAUAGGCUUUUAGGGAUGAGUGGCGUUAAAUGUUUAUCUACUUUUAUGUAUUAUUAUUCUUUGAAACAAAUCUGAUUAUAAUUCUUUUAAAAUACAGAUUAAAUAGCACGUGAAAUCGGAAAAUAUUUUACUGCGAUAAGAAUUCAUAUAUUCAUUGUACUAGCACAUAUAAAAUAGACUAUAAAUUUAUUUCCAAAAUACAUUCUUAUCUUCAUAUAAAUUUUACAUUAUUAAUUUAAAUUAAUAUUAAAAUAUGUUGUUUCUUUCACUAUGUUAUUUUAUUUACACAAUGAUGUGACUAUUGGAAUUAAUAAUACUUUUAAUUAUUUUGUAAAAAUAUAAAUUUAAUACUUUGUUAACAUUUUAUCUACAUAUAAUAAUUAAACUGAAACUUGUAUUUAAAAAAUUCUAGUUACGCAUAUUCAUUUCAUGACAUAAAGUGUAUAUUUAUGCUAAUUUACCAUUAUCAAAAAAAUGCUUUGAGACAAAUAAUCUAAUUUAUAUUUUUAUAUUUAAAAUACUUGCAUUUAUUAUAUUUUGAAAAAAAUUUAUUUGCAAUUAUUUUAAACCGUUGGAUUCAAAUUUUCAUUAUUAUUAAAGUCAAAUGGUAUAAAUGUAUAAUAGUCAAAAACAUAUUUGUAUGAUCAUUUUUCAAUGUAUAAAUUUUCUUAGUUAGUAGGAAAAUUAGAAAUUGUUGAUUUACUCAUAAAUAAAUUUAAUGUUUAGCAUUUCAAUUUUGGAAAAUUUGAGCUACACGUUGAUAACUUUGAAUCGGUCGAGCCGAGUUUCACUUCCUUGAUCCAUGGACCAAUUGAAAGUUCUAUUCGAACUGAGUUUCCUGGUGCUUAUAAAAAGCAUUUCUUUUCCUUAUCGCAGUAAUUUAUUCACAAAUGAGUUGAUUAGCAUCGAAGUUACCUGAGAGUCUGAGACUAUGUUAAUAGGAGAAAUUUGAAAAGAAAUUAUUUUACUGAACUAAUUUAUUUUAUCUUGCUGUAACUGAAAUACUACUUUUUUUUUGGGGCUAUCACUGGGGCUUGAUUUACUUUAAUAGUAGCAGCCACCGACUUAGUCAUUUUUUACUUCUCACCACACAAUUUGAUCUUUUAAUUCGUUUUAACCACAUAAUCUAUCUAUCUAUUUCUCACCUAUUGCUUACUUAAAACGCAUACAUAUUUUACCUACUAAUUUUUACAAAUAUUAAUCAAAUAUAUUUUAUUACGUUUCUCUCGUAACUGCUCCAAAUGUGUACAAUUAAUACUUAACCCUCCCUUUUAAUUUAUUGUGCAAUCUAUCUAUCACUUAAGUCACAUAUAUAUUUUACCUAUAUUUUACCCUAAAAAAUAUAAAAAUAAAAGAAAAAGAAUAUGUGUAGCAAUUUGCAUAUAACUAACAAAGCAUUGACGGUGUGUAGCCUUUCAAAACUUCACGACUAGCUUUUCUUGUGUGUUAGUACUUGUAAUAAUUGUGUAGUGUAUAAAUGACAUUUUAUUAUUAAAGUGUGUCCAUUUUUAGAUAUUACUUAUUAUUUGAAAAAUAAACUGAAUAUAAUCAUUUAAAAUACAGGGGAGAUACCACUUGAAAUCGGUAAUCUCCAAAAUCUGGAGGAGUUGGGCCUUGGUCAAAACAAAUUAAUUGGUACUGUCCCAGUUGCAAUCUUUAAUGUGUCAACACUCAAAUUUCUUGAGCUUCAAGAUAAUUCUCUCUCGGGAAGUCUUUCGUCCAUCGUAGAUGUCCGACUACCAAAUCUUGAAAAGCUUCUUUUGUGGGGUAAUAAUUUUAGUGGCACAAUUCCUCAUUUCAUCUUUAAUGCUUCUAAGCUCUCUAUACUAGAGUUAUCACAGAACUCAUUCGCCGAUUUUAUUCCCAACACAUUUGGCAACUUACGAAACCUUCAGCGGCUGAAAUUAUAUGAUAAUUAUUUGACAUCUUCAACUCCAGAGUUGAGCUUUCUAUUCUCGUUGUCAAAUUGCAAGUCUUUAACACAUCUUUCCUUAUCAAAUAAUCCACUAGAUGGCAUUCUUCCAAGGACGUCUGUCGGUAAUCUUUCUCAUUCUUUGAAAGAAUUUUACAUGUCCAAUUGUAAUGUUAGUGGCGGCAUCCCUGAAGAGAUCACCAACUUGACCAACUUGACAACCAUUUUUUUUGGGGGCAAUAAAUUGAAUGGAUCAAUUCCGAUUACUCUCGGAAAAUUACAGAAGCUUCAAGGUUUGGGUCUUGAAGAUAACAAAUUAGAAGGAUCAAUCCCAGACAAUAUUUGUCGUUUGACUGAACUGUAUGAGUUGGAGUUGGGUGGCAAUAAGCUUUCUGGAUCAAUCCCUGCAUGCUUCAAUAAUCUGGCUUCUCUGAGGAUACUGUCGUUGGGUUCCAAUGAGUUAAAUUCUAUUCCCUUAACUUUUUGGAACCUUAAGGAUAUCUUGCAACUCAAUUGUUCAUCAAAUUUUUUUACUGGCCCACUCCCAUCGGAGAUUGGAAAUUUGAAGGUUUUGGUUGGAAUUGAUUUUUCGAUGAAUAAUUUUUCAGGCGUUAUCCCAACAGAAAUUGGAGGCCUAAAAAAUCUAGAAUAUCUCUUCUUAGGAUAUAACAGAUUGCAAGGAUCAAUUCCUAAUUCAUUUGGUGACUUGAUAAGUUUGAAAUCCUUGAAUUUGUCUAAUAAUAAUCUCUCUGGAGUUAUUCCUGCAUCUUUAGAGAAACUCUCAUAUCUUGAAGAUCUAAAUCUUUCUUUCAACAAGCUGGAAGGAGAAAUUCCUACGGGAGGAUCUUUUGGAAACUUUUCAGCUGAAUCAUUUGAGGGAAAUGAAUUAUUAUGUGGUUCACCCAAUUUACAAGUCCCGCCAUGCAAAACUAGCAUCCACCGCACAUCAUGGAAAAAUUCUCUUCUCCUCGGGAUUGUCUUGCCAUUGAGUACUACAUUUAUGAUGGUAGUCAUUUUGUUGAUCCUAAGAUAUCGACAGAGAGGAAAACGGCCAUCGAAUGAUGCUAGUAUGCCACUAGUAGCAAUGUGGAGAACGUUUUCAUACCUAGAACUCUGUCAAGCAACAGACGAAUUCAGUGAAAACAAUCUAAUCGGCAAAGGGGGUUUUGGCUCUGUUUAUAAGGCGAGACUUGGGGAUGGGAUGGAGGUUGCAGUGAAAGUUUUCAAUUUGCAAUGUGGAAGAGCAUUGAAGAGUUUCAAUGUUGAAUGUGAAAUGAUGAAAAGUAUUCGUCAUCGAAACCUUAUCAAAGUUAUUAGCAGUUGUUCAAAUGAAGAGUUUAAAGCGUUGGUAUUAGAAUACAUGCCUCAUGGAAGUUUGGAGAAGUAUCUGUAUUCAAGU